Molecule: long non-coding RNA, 86578 nt
Filed under: Coffea arabica (coffee)
Lineage: Eukaryota; Viridiplantae; Streptophyta; Magnoliopsida; Gentianales; Rubiaceae
Description: long non-coding RNA (CARA_LNC006200)
Source: RNAcentral
UUUUUUCUUCUACCACAUCAGAUUGAAGAAUUGACUCUUGAAAUUCAGAUUUGGAUGACUCAGAUGUGGUCAACUCUAAGGAGGGAAAUUUUAACUCCUUAUCUUCAAGUGUAUCUAACUCCCCCUGAAGAUAAGGAGUGAUGAAAUAGGGCUUAUUUUCAACAAAUGUAACAUCUGCCGAGGCAUAGAGUUUUCUAGUAGGUGGAUGAUAACAUUUGUAACCCUUUUGAGUAGAUGAGUACCCCACGAAGACACACUUAAGAGCACGAGGAUCUAACUUCCCACGGUUAUGACUAUGGACAUGAACAAAGGAAGUACAUCCAAAAACUCGAGGAGUGAAAUUAAAGGAAGAUCGAAUAUCGGGGUAAAAUUUGGAUAGGUUCUCUAGUGGACUUUGAAACCCCAAGACCUUGGAAGGAAUUCUAUUUAUGACAUAAGCUGAUGUGAGUACAGCUUCUCCCCAAUAUGCUUUUGGCACACUUUGUUCAAACAGUAAGGCUCUAGUGCACUCAAGAAGAUGUCGGUUUUUCCGUUCUGCCACUCCAUUUUGUUGUGGAGUGGCAAUACAGGAUGAUUCAUGUAUGAUUCCUUCUUUUUGGAAAAACUGACUCAAAGUUUGAUUGAAAUAAUCACGAGCAUUAUCUGAACGAAAGUGUUUUAUCUUGGUGCCAAAUUGAUUUUGAAUCAUUGCAUGAAAAACAGGGAAAAUAUAACUCAAAUCAGACUUAUUUUUGAGUAAAUAGAUCCAAGAGACUCUUGUGCAGUCAUCGAUAAAUGUGACAAACCACUUAGACCUUGAGAUGUUUGGAAUAGUUGAUGGCCCCCAAAUAUCACUAUGGAUUAAAAAGAAAAGAGAAGACGAUCGUUUAUUACUGAUAGGAAAUGGGACAUGAGUGUGUUUAGCAUACUCGCAAAUAUCACAAUGAAAAGACUGAACAUCAAAUCCCUUGAACAAGGAAGGAAACAUUAUUUUUAAUGCAGAAAAAGACACAUGACCUAGACGUCUAUGAUGUAACCAGAUGACAUCUUUAUUGGAGGGUGAAGACAAUGUGGACAGGGCAGAUUUACUAAAUUCUGGUUGACUUGAUGUAUCCAAGUAAUAGAGUCCAUCAUGCUCCUUAGCUAGUCCAAUCCUCUUCCCCGAGCCCCGGUCCUGAAAGUCACAACAGGAUUCAUCAAAUAUAACAGAGCCAGCUAGAUCCUUGGCAAGUUUUUUUACAGAAACCAAAUUUGUAGAUAAUCGAGGAACAUGAAGAACAUUUUUAAGAAUCAAAUUUGGAGUAACUUGGACAUCUCCAAUACCUGCCACAGUGGUUGUAGUACCAUCUGCAACAACAAUCUUUCUAUUGCUAGGACAGGGAUUAUAGGUUUUGAAUUUAUUUGAAAUAUGAGUCAUAUGAUCCGUAGCACCAGAGUCAAGAAUCCAGACAUUCCUAAGCUCAUUGCCUAAAACACUAAAUGCAAAAGAGACUAGAGCCUUACCUGAAAGUGUCAAUGAACACAUACCCGGAUUCCUUGAUUGAGAAUUGUUAGUUGCUGGUUUGUCAACUGUCUCUAACAUACUUUUAAGCUUCUCAAUUUCCUCCAUACUAAACCCUCUAAUCACUUGAGUUGGAUCUUGAACCGACAUAUGAGCCUGCCUUUGCUGGCCACCUUUUUGUCCCCAUUCACGAGUGGGUAGUUCCCAUGUAGUUUCCAGCAUUGAUCUAUGGUGUGUCGUGGUUUCUUGCAGUAUGUGCACCACAACUCCUCGCGAUUCUUUGGCCCACUUGUUUGAUUGGUCUUGUCCGCAGCAACCUUGUUCAGUACCAACCGCUGAGAUUUGGAACUUAAAAGGGUUGAAUUUUCUAUUGAAGGUAGCUCUAACAUAAUACCCCUGCGACUUUCUUCUCCACGUACUUGGGAUAUUGCUUCUAUUAAAGAAGGAAACUCUGGCCUGCCCAGAAUUUGAAUUCGUACAAAAUCGAAUUUAGAAUUUAGGCCAGCCAAAAAAUCAUAAACUCGAUCCCUUUCUAUGAACUUCUUGAUAAACACUGCACAUUUGCUACAGUUCAAAUCAAGUGCCCUGUAAUAAUCCAGUUCCUGCCACUGGUUUUGCAGAAAAUUGGCAUACUCCGUCACUGUUUUUGUCCCUUGUUUUGCUCCAGUUGUCUUUGUCUUGAUGUCAUAGAUAAGAGCUGCAUCAUUAACCUUGGAAUAUGUCUGAUGAAGGGCAUCCCAAAUUGCCUUUGCUGUAGGAAGAAACAUACAUGUAUCGCUGAUUUCAGGAAUCAUGGAAUUCCAUAACCAAGACAUGAUCAUUGAAUCCUCUUGUUCCCAUGCUUCAAACCCCGCCGUUUCACUAACCGGUGCUAUUUCCAAUAGAUGACUCAACUUUCUUUUUCCUUUCAGGAAUGUUCGAACCAAUUGAGACCACUUCAAAUAAUUUUUUCCAUUUAGUCUAUAUGCUGCCUGGAUGUUUUGAAGCUCUGUUGUGUUCCGUAUACUUUGUUCUUCUUCCAUAGUUGAAGACAAUUGCCGCGUUGAGGAUGUAGCAUCCGCCAUGAUUGAAUAGAAGGGGGGAAAAAUGUAUAGUAACAGGAACAGCAAUGAAGGCUGGAGAGAAUAAGAAAGGAACCAGCAAUUAAGGUUGGAAUUGACAAGAAGCAAAGGUGGUAUUUUUCCCAGAACCCUAGACGGGCUCUGAUACCAUGUAAACUAAGAAAAAUGGAGAGAAAAAAUACUUUUCUUCUAUUUCACUUUGGACUACACAAUAUACAAAUAUAUAUAUACACAAGUGGAUACUAUAAUCAUAUGAUACUAUAAUCAUACUAUUACCUAAUUAAUAUAUGAUACUAUAAUCAUAUGAUACCUAAUUAAUAUAUGAUACUAUAAUCAGAUCUUUCCUAAUAUUUAUAUUAUCAAAUCUUUCCAUAAUAUCAGAUCACAUAUCUUCAACAUAAUCCUCUUUUCAAACUCAGGACCAUUCUUGGCCACAAACUGAGAUGUCUUGUCAACAAUGUUUCUGAUAUCUGGAGGAGGAUAAAUAAUACCAAUAGUUCUCGUAUGAGUCGCAACCGAAAUAGGAGCUGAGUUGGAGUUGUCAGCUUUGCUCAGAUCCUCUUGACUUCCAUUCUGUUUCUCGUCUUCUUCAGUUAUCUGAGCUAGUGGUACAGGCCCAAGAUUACCAUCAGAAGGGGGUGCAGGUAAAGGCAAUAUCGGCAAAUUGCCCAACAUUUCCAGAUGGUCUGCAAAAAGUUCACAAAAAAGUUAAAAACAAACCAACAAAAAACACAUGCAGCACACUAUUUUUACUUCCUAGCAUAUCAUGCUCUGAUAACUCAUGACUUCAUGAAGCUUUAUCACGAUGAAGACCUCAAAAAUGAGCACAACUACAAGAGACGGGUAUUACCCCCUUGAAGAUCAUAAACUAGGUAUGAGUUCAUGUCUACUUCAGACCAUCCACAAACUUUUCAAUUCACUCAAGACAAACAUUCACAAACAUAUUUCAUCACAUAUGUUCACAUACAUCAAGUGGAAUCACUACAUAAUCCCAAGUACAAGCAAAAUAAACUAACGAAUCAAACAUGUUAGAAAAGCACCUCUGCUUAAAAUGAAAAUAAAUAAAUUACAGUAACAGAACAACCAACUUCAGAAUAAACUGAUCACAAUGAAAUUCAUUAGAGCAUCAAGAUUCAGAUUUCAGCAAAAACAUCACCAACUAAAAUAAGCAAGGAGAACUCAUCACUGACCUAACAGAAAAUAUCCCCCAACCACCAAGGAAUAACAAGAAACUUUCUCAGCAUAAAGAAAGAGUAAAGAGGUCACUACAAGCUGCAGAUUCAAAAUUGUCGAUAGGGGAACUAGGGUUAGGGAUUUGGAAUUUCAUUUUUUUUUAAUUCUCGCUCUCUCAGACUUUCACUCUUGCUGACUCUACAUGAAUUGACAUAAAAACUCAACAAAACCCGAAGGAAAAAGAAAUGGGUGGGUUGGGGUACUCCAGGUUCUGUUACUACUUCCUAUACUUCCUUUUCAUGGUCCGCUACCCAGCCCUAAAACUUUUUCAGGAUGCAAUAUCCUUCAAGCGGUGUUCUUUUAAUAACUGUCCCAAAAAAUUCUUACUACUUAAUCAAGUUAGAGGAGGAGGUUCACAAGUUAAACCUUUUUUUAGUCAUUUUUUAGCGUUACUUUUUCCUUCACUAGAAAAGUUAAACAGUAGCAUUUGAAAAUAAGAAUUUGGGUUUGUUUGGAUAGGAAGUUAUUUGAAAUAUUUAUUUGAAAUAAUUACUGUAACACUUUUUGUAAUGUCAUGUACAUGAGAUAAAAAAAUGGUUAGAAAUUGUGUGUAUGAUAUAAGCAAAACAAAAUUUGAAAAUUUUAUUUGAAAAUCUUACAAUCCAAACAAACCCUAGCCCCACUUCAUAUUGAUUCAUCAAAAGCUUCCCUCUUCAAUUUAUUUCUUAUCUAUAUGUGCAUACACAACAAACACCACUAAUAUACAUCAUAAACGGUAUACAGAAAUAACAAUAAAAAGGGUAAUUACAACAUUCACUCCAAAACUAUUAUUAAUUUGUACUUUCUCACUUAUAAUAUCAAUUUAGCACUUUACCACUAACAAUUUGUGCAUUAAUGGCAAACAAGUGGGAUGGCCAGGGUUUAAAGAAUUCAAAGAUACAGAACUAGACACAAGAAAUCCAACGUUGGUCAAAGAACUAAUGAGUAAGACAAUACAAAGCCUAUUUUAGUACCGCCUCUUAUUUUACAAAUUCUACCCAUAUUAAUAUGCACCUACUUACAUUCUCUACCUCUCUUUCCUACCGUUCCAAACACCUUGAGGUACUUGAAUUUACAAGUUUUUAAAAUCAUUGAAGGUACUUGAAUGCAUGUUUUUAAACUCAAUUCUGAUAUUAAAACAAAUUAGUUUGGUGUCUGGUUAACUCAAACAAUCCAGUAGGUCUGGUUCAAAGACUAGGAAAUAAGUACAAGCUUUUCCAUCAUUUGUUCCAACACGAGUUAAGAUACAAUUGCACUUGGGCUUUCUAACGGUGUUUUUUUAUAAUAAAAUGAAGUAAAUCCAAGAUGGUUGUCUCUGAAGUCCUUUGUCCUAUCCCAAAUCCAAGUGGGUUGCCUCUCUACGAGAUUUUCUUUAACUAUUUUGUUUGCUGAAAUUAAAAGGGGGGAGGGAAUCCAUUUAACAAUGAAAAACUAGCGAGAAGGUGGAAUCUUUUCGGAAAUUGACAUUUUUUCCCCAAAACAUGAGCACGAUUACAAGAGAAGGAGUAUCACCCCCAAUGAAGAACACAAACUAGAGUACACUUUCCAACCCAUUUGAGACCAUCCACAAACUUUUCAAGUCCCUCAAGACAAACAUUCACACACAUUUCCACCCCAUAUGUCUACAUAUCAACUCGUAUCACUACAAAAUCCUAAUCAAAAGCAAAAUGAAUAAACGAAGUUUAACAUGUUAGAAAGCUGGCUAUGCUGAAAACGAGAACAAAUAUUAUUGUAACAGAGCAACCAACUUCAGAAAAGAAUAAUCACGAUGAAAUUCACCUGUCCAGACAAAGAACAAAGCCCAUUAAGAUUCAGACUUCAGAGAACAAAAAUCACCAAAUCAGCAAGCAAGAAUAACUUGUCGCUAACCAAACACAAAAAAUCCCAAACCCCAAAGAGUAACCUAAAAAAGAAGAUUUCAGCAUAAAAAUAGAGUAAAGAGGUAAUUAUAAAGUGAAAGCCUGCUACUUCUUAGUCAAAUUCACCAACUUUACCUGAAUUUUACAGAACCCCAACCAAAAGCGGAAACUUCUACAUUUAUAGGGUUUAUUCAUUACAGAACUUCAAAACGAAAAACAAAAAUAAAAGGAAACAAAUGGAAAUGAUUAAAGCGAAGAAGGACUGACCAGAGAGAUUUGAGCUCGCCAAAUGAAGACAGUAUAUUGAGAAAUUAGGAUUAGGGAUUCGGAAUUUCUUCUUUUUAUUCUCCCGCUCUUCGACUCCCACUCUCGCCGACUCUACGGUUCGUUUUGAGAUGGUAAAAUCUAAACAAAACCCGAAGGGAAAAUGGGUGGGGCGGGGUUUACCGUGUUCUGUAACUUCUGUCACUACUUCCUAAUUGCUUUUCUCUUUUUUUUUUAUUCUUUUUUUCUCUUUUUCAUCUAUUUUCUUUUUUAUACUCGUUACCACACAACCUAAGGCCUGUUUGGAAUCUUGAUUUUUUACCAAAUUUGUAUAAAACUAGUUAUUUAACAACUUUUGUUACAGGAAUCCCAAAAAAUUUAUCAAAGUUUUUAACCUACAUACCCAUCUAAUACACAAAAAAUUUCCCUUCAAUUUUUCUUCUUUUCCCUCCCUUACCCAACCCACCAUGUCCUUUGGCACUAGCCACCACCUCUACUACCGCUCCCGGUGCCGGUCAACAAUUUCGGCACUGCCUUCCUCUUUUUUUUUCUCUCUCUCUCUCCCUCACCCCCCUCUUUCUCUCGACCUCCCCUUCCCUCUUCCCCUCUCUCUCCCCCGCCACCCUUCCCCUCUCGCGACCAGAUCACAAAAGUGGAGGGGGAGGGGGGCUGCAAUCUGGUUGCGCGACCAGAUCGCAGCGAAGAGAAAGGGAGAGGUGGUGGGGGAGAGGGGAGAAGAAGGGGUGACGGGCAAAAGCUAAAAAAAAAAUUUAUGGCUUCCAUUACUCUGGCGUGUGACUGCUGAGAGCGACAGGGAUGGGGGAGGGGGGAGAAAAAAGGGUGGCGGGCAGAGGGGGUGGGGCAGAGAGAGAAGAGGGGCGUCAAGGGAGAGGGGAGGAGAAGGGGUGACGGGAGAGGGAGAGGGAGGGAUGGCGGGCAGAAGGGGGUGGCGGGGCGGAGAAGAGGAGUGGCGGGGGAAGGAAGGGGAAUGGGCAGAGGGGCGGCGGGAGAGGGAGGGGGUGGCGGGGGAAAGGGGAGGAAAAGGGGUGGGGGUAGAGGGGGUUGGCGGGAGAGGGAGAAGAGGAGUUGCAGGGGAAGGAAGGGGAAGGGGAAGGAAGGAAAAGAAAAAAGAAAGAAAGAAAGAAAAAAAGAAAAAGAAAAGGAAAGAAAGAAAAGAAAAAGGAAAAAAAGUUUUUCAUCUCACACAUGUUUUUCUACAAAAGUUUUUCUACAAUUUCUACAGUGAUUUUCAGUAAAGUUUUAUAUAAAUACUAAAAAACCUCACCUUCCAAACAGGCCCAAGUUUUGGAUCUGAGACUUCCUAUUUGUAAUUUUAAAAAAAAGAAUUGAGGAAUGAUGUUUAAUGUUACAUUUUUCUCUAUUUUUUGUCAUGUUUUUAAUGUUAAUUUUUAUCAUCGAAACCACAGCAAAGAAAGGAAAAAUGAUAGCAUUUGAAAGGUAACAAUUUUGUUUAGAUAGAAGAUUAUUUGUAAAAUUUAUCAAUUGGACUAGAUGUGAAUAAAAAGCAAAAUAUUUGGGAUUAUAUUUGUUUUUGUUUGAACUGGACUAAAAUUGCUUGUGUUCCAAACAUUGCGAAUCAAAAUUUUAAUUCUCUCAUUUUCUCUUAUGAGUAAAUUAUCUCGGUCGCCGCCAAACUUUUGGAAUCGUUGAAUUUUGACUAUUGAAUUAUUAAAAGUUUGGUUUUGACCAUUAAACUAUUCAAAGUUUAGAUUUUGAACCAUUCCGUUAGGUUUAAUCAUUAAACAUGACAGAUCUGAGUGUUCGCAUAAUUUACAAGAUAAAAGAAAAGGACAUAGUUAACGAUUAAAUCUGAUAGAAUAACCCAGAAUCUAAAUUUUAGAUAAUUCAGUGGCCAAAACUCAAUGAUUCCAAAAGUUCAUUAACCAUUCAAAUAAUUUGCUCUUUUGCAAUUAUUAGCCCCUCUUUAUAUUGAUUGAUCAAUAGCUUCCUUCUUUCUUUCAUUUUAUUUCUUUUCCAAAUUUGCAGACACAUCAUCGAAUAUUUCUAAUAUACAGCAUACAUGGUAUUAAAAAAUAACAAGAAAAAAGGUUAAUUACCACAUUCACUCCAAACCUAUCAUUAAUUUGUGCUCUGCCACUUAAGUUAUGUAUUUCAACACUUAAUAACUGAUAAUUUGUGUACUUAAAGGUAAACAAGCAGAAUGGACGGGAUACAAAAGAAUCGAGAAUAAUGAUCUAUACCCAAGAAAUUCGAUGUUGCUGUAAGAACUGAAUAAAUUGUCAGUACUAAAUUUAAUACAUUUGAAUAUAUAUUACAUUAAGUGAUAAAUGAAUAACUUAUGAUUUAUUUUUUUUGAACAAAUUUUGUCUAGAAAAUUCAGUACCACUUAAUGAAUUCAGAUGUUCUAAUUUUGGUUAUCAAAUGCAUCUGAAUAUAUUAAGAUCUCAUUAAAUUUAAGUGUUAAAUUGAAUUAUCAAAUCUACAAUAUUGGCAGUAAUCAGUCUAGGCUCCAAGAGUUUCACAAAGUUGUACAGUUUUAAAUCCGAGGGAAACAAGCAUGGGAAAAGACAUCACAUCUGUUGAACGACGCGUGUUUGUUGACCAAUGCGUUUUUUGCUUUAUCCCACAUCGACAGAAGCCAAAGGAAUUCUUCCUUUGGUUUCCUAUAAAUAAGGGAACCUUAUGAAGGUUUUAAAUCACACCACUCAAGAGAGCAUUAUAUGAGUUAUUAGUUUUUUGGAUCAUCUAACCCAUUUAUAGUCAAAUAUUUUAGACUCUCUUGUUUUGAGUUUAGAAAUAUUUUCUAAACCUUUUGUAAGUGUCAUUGUGGUCUAAGAACCACUUUCCUACGGCUUUUAUAUUUUUUUCUUCAUAGUAGAAAUAUUGCUCCUCCCUCGUCUGUGCACAUAGGUCAAUUUGACCGAAUCACGUAAAUUUUGGUGUCUUUUAUUUUGCUUUGUUAUUUAUUUUUAUUGGAUUGCCACAACCCUUUUAUAUGAUUGAUUUUACCGCCUAAUCAUUAUAUGGUCGGUUAUACCGCCUAAGUAUUAUAUGAUCGGUUAUGUCACUUAUUUUGUUCUAAUUUUAGUUUGUUUAUUCCUGGGUCAGUCCUAACAAAUUGGUAUUAGAGAUGGUUAAUAUAUUUUGGAAGAUAGGUUCAUCUUGUGGGGCUCGUUCAACUUGUGGGGUCUGUUCAUCUCGUGGGGCUCGUUCACUCGUGAGAAUCAUUUAUCUGUGGGUCCCGCUCAUCUCAUAGGGCCCAUUCAUCCCUGUGGGUCCGCUCACCCUGUGGGGCUCAUGAGACUUGUAUAUUUGUUUGACUAGUUUAUUGAGAUAAACUUCAAGUUACAGAUUUUGUGACAACAAUAACGAUAUCAAGGAUGGUUGUCUAGAAAUUCGACAGGAAUGUCAAUUUCGGAAUGUGGCAACUCAAGAUGGAGGUCAUUCUUGUUCAAGACGGAGUUGAUUUGGCAAUUCAGAGAAAUGAAAAAAAGCCAGAAGAUGUAAAUGAUGCGGAUUUCGUCGAUAUGGAUAAGAAGGCCAAAUCCAGCAUAAUCUUAAAUCUCUCCGAUGAGAUAUUGCUUGAGGUAACAAUGGAGACUUCGGCCAAGGUUAUGUGGGACAAAUUAAAAGCAUUGUAUAUGAAGAAAAUAAUUGAGAAUCGGUUAUAUCUGAAACAGAGUUUGUAUAUGCUUCGAAUGUUUGAAGGUACAUCUAUAGUCUCACAUCUUGAUAAAUUUGAUUCCAUUAUUAUGGAUUUGGAAAAUAUAGAUUCAAAAAUUGAUGAUGAAGAUCAAGCCCUAUUACUUUUGUGUUUCCUUCCUCAAUCUUUUAAACAUUUCCGUGAUAUUAUGAUUUAUGAAAAGGAAACAAUUUUGUAUUGAAAAAUUAAAUCUGCAUUAAAAUCUAAGAGCAGAUAGAUAGAGAUAUUAUUGGGAAAAUUAGUAGGAAUCAAACCGAUGGCAUGUUUAUUCGGGGUAGAUAUGAAAAGAGAAACACAGAAAUAGAAGUAGAUCAAAAUCCAGACAUAAAAAUAUGGUAUGCAACUAUUGUAAAAAGAAGGGUCAUGUUAUCUCUGAUUGUUUUAAAUUGAAAAAUAAAGAAAAGCAAAAGGAGAAAAGGAGUGAAAGUACCGAGUGUAGUAUUGCCGUUGAUGAGAAUGAUGGAAUCAUUUUCUGUGUAACAGAAAAUAAUUUUAGGUCUAACAGUGAGUGGAUUUUAGAUUCGGGUUGUUCAUAUCAUAUGUGUCCUAAUAGGGACUGAUUUUCAAUAUAUGGAUCAACUGAAGGUGGAGUUGUCUUAAUAGGUAACAACGCCGUUUGUAAAGUUGUUGGCAAAGGUACAAUUCGGAUUAAAAUGUAUGAUGGUAUUGUGAGGACGCUCACAAAUGUUAGACAUGUUCCAGAUUUGAAGAAAAAUCUCAUCUUUUUGAGCACUUUUAAGUCUAUUGGGUGCAGGUAUUCAGGUGGAGAUAGAGUUCUCAAAAUCACUCGAGGUGCUCUUGUUGUUAUAAAAGCACACAGAUCUGAUACUUUAUAUAUUUUUCAGGGAUCUACUGUUACAGGUGCUGCUACUAUUUCAACAUCAUCUUUGUCAGAUACCGACAUCAUCAAAUUAUGGUAUAUGCGUUUGGGGCACAUGAAUAAAAAGGAUUGGACAUACUAAGCAAAAGAAAGCUUCUUUGUGGACAAAGUACCAGACCAUUGGAAUUCUGUGAACAUUGUAUUUUUUGGAAGCAGAAAAGAGUCAGCUUCAAUUCACCAGCAAUUCACAAGACAAAAGGUACUUUUGAUUACAUUCAUUCAGAUCUAUGGGGCCCUUCUCGUGCUCUUUCCAAAGGAGGUGCCAGGUACAUGUUGACUUUCAUUGGUGAUUAUUCAAGAAAAGUUUGUAUAUAUUUUCUUAAGCAUAAAAAUGAUAUUUUCCUAACUUUCAAGCAAUGGAAAGUUUUGAUUGAGAAACAAACAGGAAAACAUAUAAAGCGGUUGAGAACAGAUAAUGGUAUGGAAUUUUGUGAAGGCGAAUUUAAUGAAUUUUGUAGGAAUGAAGGAAUUAUUCGGUAUCACACUAUCAGAAUGAAGUCUCAACAAAAUGGUAUGGCCGAACGUAUGAACAGAAUAUUUUUGGAGAGAGCGAGAUAUCCGAUCUCCAAUGCAAAGUUGACAAACGACUUUUGGGUAGAGGCAAUCAAUAUGGCCUGUUAUAUUGUCAGCCGUUCUCCUUCUGCAUUUCUAAAUUUCAAAACUCCUGAGAAAGUUCGAUCAGAUACUCCUGCUGAUUAUUUCAAUUUAAAAGUUUUUGGGUGUCUAGCAUACAUGCACGUGAAUGAUGAAAAAUUGGAGUUUAGGAUUAAAAAGUGCAAUUUUCUUGGGUAUGCUUCUGGGGUGAAAGGAUACAGAUCAUGGUUUCCUGAUCCCAAAUCUCCAAAAUUUGUAAUCAGUAGAGAUGUUACUUUUGAUGAAUUGUCUAUGUUAUCUUCCAAGAAGGAGUCUUCUAGUCAUUGUAUUACUGAAAGUACACAGAAGCAGGUGGAGCUUGAUAUUGGCAGUUCUGAUUCUUCUCAAACCAAAUCUUCUAUUCAGCAAGUGCCAGUAGAUGCACCUGAAUCUACUGUUGAAGAUAGUUUAGAAGAAAAAGAGUAUUUCAUAGCCAGAGAUAGACCAAGGAGAGACAUUCGACCACCACAAAGAUAUACAAAUUUAGCUACAUAUGCUUUGUCUGCUACAGAAGAAACUGAUGCAGUUAGUGAACCUUCCAUAUAUUCAGAAGCAGUUUCUUGUGAUGAUUCUGCAAAGUGGUUGAUUGCGAUGAAUGAAAAAAUUGAAUCUCUUCAUCAGAAUGAAACUUGGGUUCUUGUAAAACCGCCGUCAAAUAAGAAAAUAGGUAGUUGCAAAUGGAUCUUCAAGAAAAAAGAAGGUAUUUCAGGGGUUGAAGAUGCAAGAUAUAAAGCACGAUUGAUUGCAAAGGGCUAUAACCAGGUAUAAGGUAUUGAUUUUAAUGAUGUGUUUUCACCUGUUGUUAAACAUAGCUCUAUUCGUGUUUUGCUUGCUUUAGUUGUCAUGUAUACUUUGGAGUUAGAACAGCUCGACGUUAAGAAAGCUUUCUUAGAUGACGAAUUUGAAGAACAAAUUUAUAUGAGACAACCCCAAGAUUUUGAAAUUGAAGGUAAGGAAGACCAUAUUUGCUUGUUAAAGAAAUCCUUAUAUGGAUUGAAACAGUCUCCAAGACAAUGGUAUAAAAGGUUUGAUUCUUUUAUGUUGGGUCAUAGUUAUUUGAGGAGCAUGUAUAAUAGUUGUAUUUACUUCCGAAAGUUAAAUGAUGGUUCUUUCAUUUAUUUGCUGCUUUAUGUUGAUGAUAUGCUCAUUGCUGCCAAGAAUGUGUCAGAAAUUCACACUUUGAAAUUACAGUUAAGUAGUAAAUUUGAAAAAAAAUAUGUAGGAGCAGCUAAGAAAAUUCUUGGCAUGGAUAUUAAGCGAGAUCGAGAAGCAGAGAAGUUGUUUUUGACUCAAGAAAAUUACCUAAAGAAAGUCUUAGAGCGCUUUGGCAUGAAAAAUGCAAAACUUGUAAGUACUCUUCUUGCUAGCCAUUUUCGGCUAUCUGCUGCUCAAUCACCACAGUCAGAUAAAGAGAAAAAUUAUAUGACACGGGUUCCUUAUUCCAGUACAGUCGGCAGUAUUAUGUAUGCAAUGGUUUGUAGUCAUCCAGAUAUUUCACAAGCAGUCAAUGUUGUUAGUAGAUAUAUGUCUUGUCUAAGUAAAGAAUAUUGGCAGGCUGUGAAGUAAAUUUUCAGAUACAUGCAAGGGAUUUCAAACAUUUGUUUGGAGUUUGGAAGAAAUAAAAUCACGCUGGUUGAUUUUGUAGAUUCAGAUUACGUCGGGGAUCUUGACAGAAGAAGAUCACUUUCAAGCUAUGUAUUCUGCAUUAGGGAUUGUGCAGUCAGUUGGAAAGCUACUUUACAACCCGUUGUGACUCUAUUUACUACGGAGGCAGAAUACAUGGCAGUGACCAAGGCAAUCAAAGAAGCCUUGUGAUUGAAGGGCUUAUUUGGCGAGUUUAAUCUACAUCAAGGUGUUACAGUUAUUCACUGUGAUAGUCAAAGUACUAUACACUUGACUAAAGAGUAGAUGUAUCAUGAGAGAACAAAACACAUUGAUAUAAAAUAUCAUUAUAUAUCCAGAAUAUCAUUGUUGAAGGGAAAAUCCUUGUCCGAAAGAUCAAUACCAAGGAGAAUCCUGCUGACAUGUUUACAAAGUUUCUUCCAGUUUACAAGUUCAAGCAGUGCUUGGACUUGGUUGGUGUUCAUUGUUCAUGAUUUAGGUCCAUUGGGAUUUAUAUGGAGAAGGUGGAGCAAUUUUGCUAUUGUCAAUAUUGGGGACUCAUCAAGGUGAAAAUUUGUUGAACGACGCGUUUGUUGACCAACGCGUUUUUUGCUUCGUUCCACAUCGAUAGAAGCCAAAGGAAUUCUUCCUUUGGUUUCCUAUAAAUAAAGGAGCCUUAUGAAGGUUUUAAAUCGCGUCGCUCAAGAGAGCAUUAUAUGAGCUAUUAGUUUCUUGGGUCAUCUAACCCAUUUAUAGUCAAAUAUUUUAGAUUCUCUUGUUUUGAGUUUAUGAAUAUUUCCUAAACAUUUUGUAAGUACCAUUGUGGCCUAGGAACCACUUUCCUACUGCUUUUGUAUUUCUUGUUGAUAGUAGAAAUAUUGCUCCUCCCUCGUCUAUGGACGUAGGUCAAUUUGAUCGAACAACGCAAAUUUUGAUGUCUUUUAUUUUGCUUUGUUAUUUGUUUUUAUUAGGUUGCCACAACCCUUUUAUAUGGUCGAUUUUACCGCUUAAUCAUUAUAUAGUCGAUUAUAUCGCUUAAAUAUUAUAUGGUCGGUUAUACCACCUAUUUUGUUCCAACUUUAGUUUAUUUAUUCCUAAGCCAGUCCUAACAACAUCUUUACGUUGCAGGCAUGGGAAGGAUGAAAGCACCAUACAUUCAAGCUCUUCUUGUUUGAUGACAUGUGGUAAAUGAACAAUAUAAUGGUUUUGAAGUAGGAAGUUCAAAAAAUCCAGAUUCUUAAUGCUAUCAUCAAGGAAGAAAAGUUCGAAGUUCUUGAAAACGCGAAAGGCAGAAUGGAAAAAGAGCAAGAAAUUGGAAUUUGGCCAUCCAAUUUUGAGUCAAAUUUCAAAACUUGAAACAGCUUUCCAACAAAAUCAAGUUGCAGAAUAUGGACUUUGAAUGAUAAUUUAGCACCUUAACGAAUUAAUAAUAAUAUUUUGCAGAGAAACUAGUACGCUUUUCCUUCAUAAAAUGGUAAUAUGUUAUUGUACCAGCAUGUUUACCUAAAUGCCGAAUCGAGUCAUAAACAAACAUUGAAGACUGAAUUUUAUUUUCCCCUACAAAAUUUCCAGUUAUGAAAUGGCAAGGUGAAUUUGUUUGGAAACAAUUAUCAUAUAGUACUGUUGAGUAAACAUCUAUUUCCUAACAAUCACUUUUAUAGCUUAUGCUCAACCUGUCAAGGACGAAAGGCAGACAAGUCUUAUACCUUACCCUGAUAAGCCUGUAUAGUUUCUGUUGUACAAUGUAAUGAUGGAAAAGGAUUCGAGACUCUACCAAAAUUUGUCAAUUCGCAGAGCUUAAAGAGAUCAAAUUGAUGAUGAGGAUUCAACAAACGAGUAUUGCCCAGUUUACAUUGGACCUCGAGGGGUUGAAGGAGGCCAACAAAAUCAUGGCAUUGCCAGGGCAACCAAAACGAGUGAAUUUUGAUCUGUAUUCUGGGUACGUCACUGUUGAUCCUAAGGUUGGUCGAGCUCUCUUUUACUAUUUUGUCGAAUCUGAAAACACUUCUAGCAAACCUCUUUUGCUGGCCAUCACGUACCUCAACUUGUCCUCCAUAACAACAAAAUAACUAACCAAGCAGUGAUCAACUUGAAAGGAAUUGCAGUCAGUUUUAAUCUCUUCUUUUUCCUUUAUUGGUUCCAUGAACGUUUGUUGUUUGAACAUCUACAAUCUAUAUGUUCUGCAUCUAAUGGUGAUAUUUCUUGUUAUUUUCAGAUUGGAAAUGCAAUUCUGGAUACAGAAACGGAAUGGAAGGGGCAACAUGAUUUUUUGUGGUCACACAGCCUAAUACCUGAUGAAAUGUAUUAAGGUUUAGUUACAAAUUGCGUUGCUACAGAUGGUUCCGUAUCAGAUGCUUGUGUAAACUACCUAGAACAAGAGGGAAAGGCACUUGGCAAUAUCAAUUAUUAUGACAUAUAUUCUCCCUUGUGAUCUUCUGCUUCAAAUACUCCUUCGGUAGAAUGUGAUUCUUCAUUUAUGACAUUAUCACCUCUCUAUUCUCAUCUGAAUGAAAUAUCAAAUCACCUUUGUUCCAUGAUUGAAAUAGAUAUCUGGAGCAGAUCCAUGGGCGGAUGAUUAUGCAUUAUCCUACCUAAACAAUCCUGACGUGCAAAAAUCACUUCAUGCGACUACAACAGGAACAUCUGGACCUUCGAGUUUGUGCAGGUACGUAUGGAAUCAUACCAUUACAUUAUUUAAAAUCAUUAUUCCAAUAUAUGUGCGUUUCUGUACACUUUACUCUGAAUUACCAACAUAGUUCUGUUACUUGGAUUUUCAUUUAUAGCAACUCCAUUAAUUGGACAGAUAGUCCAGACCAUGGUUCAAAGGCGUGGUUGCGGUCAAGGUCAUGACACAGACCGUUCCAUAUUGGUUUCAACGUAUUGGUGACGGUCUCGACCAGAUGCAAAUUUUUGAUAAUAAAAAAAUAGCAAAAAUAAUAAAAAUUCGAGUUAAUUCAAGGCAAUUCGGCCACUUUUAUCUUUCUCGGAGACGUCUUGGCCGAGUUCUCGGCGAUCCAUUAUCUCGGAGUAAUCUCGUCUCGGUAUUGAAAUGGAAAGCCCUGUUCUGGUGACAACUCGGUCGAAUCGUCUCGGUCUCGGCCGAGUCUUUGAACCGGACACAGUUUUACCUACAAUCAAGGAGCUAAUGGCAAGUGGCAUCAACUUGUGGAUUUAUAGGUAACUAAGUGAUGACCUUGUGGUUGUGUAAAAGCUAGCAUUAACGAGAUUCUACCUUUCCAUUUCAUGUGUAAACUAAGAAAAUGGAACAAUUUUGAAUUGAAGUGGAGAUACAAAUGACUUUAAUACCUGUGACUGACGGCAACUAGGUAUGCGAUAAACAAGUUAGAGGUAUCUGUGAAAAGGAAAACCACUUUUCAUCCUUGGCACACCCAAGGCGAGGUAACAAAAGGCUGAAUCUCAGAUGUAUUAUACCUUUUUCAAGUCAUUUUUAUUUCUGUCCAACACUUAGUGUUGAAUAAACGUGAUCUAAAUCAGGAUUGAUCAGGUUGGAGGAUAUGUGGUGGAAUAUCAGAAUUAACAUUUGUGACCGUACGAGGAGCUGGACUUUUGGUUCCUCGCUAUCAGCCCGCUCGCGCACUUGCUGUAUUCUCAUCCUUCAUGGAAGGACAGCUUCCAUCAUCAAGCUAGAACAAGAUGAAAUGGUGAAAGAGAAAAGGAUUUUGAUUAGUGUGAUCGUUGUUUCCAGUAUAGUUGAACCAAAACAGGUUUCUGUACUUUGCUUCAAUUCUAUAAUAUUAUGGGGUCUUGGUAUGUACCCCAGCUUUGUGGCUUGGUCACCAUACAGCUAACCUUUAAUCCGAGAUUAGUCUAGUUUAUACUUGUUCAAUCAUCUAAUUUGACCACGUUUGGAGACAUACUAAUUACUACAUUUUAGCACAUCCGCCCUCAAGAAAAUAUUGAAUUUACAUUCCUAGAUGAAAGUUACAAAGAUGGCAUUUCCUUGGCUUCAAAUCCUCGGUCGCAUUUCUUGAGGCACUAUUGACUGAUAACCUUUCGAGUCACAGAUGCCUUGAACAAACCCUUUGAGAAUUGAAUGGUGCCGCUAAUUCAGCUUCCACUACUGACACUGCUAUAUCCAAAUUGCUUGACCAAUCCUCUGCUUUCCAUUAACCUCCGUACUCUCACAGCAUCAUCUGGUCUUCCAGCUUUAGCAUAUAGAUUUGACAAUGUCACGUAGUGUCCAGCAUUUUCUGGCUCCAGAUUGACCAGAUGCUCUGAAGCCAGGACUCCAAUUCUUAUGCUUUGCUGUUCUAGAGAGGCAGCAAGUAUAGAACCCCAGAUAUGUUUAUCAGGCCCAUGAGGCAUUUUUCUGAUGAAGUCAACAGCAUCAUCCAGCUGACCAGCACGUGCUAGUAAAUCAACAAGACAUGUAAAGUGUCCUGUCUGAGGUUUGAAGCCAAAAUCAGUGCUCAUCCUGUCGAAAAUCUUGAGACCCUCGUUUACAAGACCAGAAUGACUGCAAGCUGACAGCACAGAAGCGAAUGUCAAAGAGCUGGGGCUAACACCAGAACUACACAUCUCUUCAAGGAGUUUAACAGCUGCUUGGCCGCAGCCAUUCAUUCCAAAGGCUCGAAUCAUUGUAUUCCAUGAUACCAAAUCCCGCGAUUCCAUUUGAGAAAAUACCGAAUAGGCAAUAUCAACAUCUCCACAUUUGGCAUACAUGUGAAUGAGUGCGUUACAAACCGGACUUGCUAGAGUAAAAUUGCCUUUUAUAAUGUAGGCAUGGAUUUGUUUCCCGAGUUUCAGGUCACAUACUGGCAAAAGAGUGGAAACUGUUGUGUGAUCAUUCUUAAUUCCCAUGCUUUGCAUGUCUGUGAAGCACUUCACAGCCGAAUCCACCCUUCCUAAUUCGGCAAAGCCAAGAAUCAUGGCGUUCCAAGUUACAACAUCAGACGUAUCCAUCAAGCCAAAUACAUGCUCUACGUCUUGAGCUCUCCCACACUUGGCGUAUAGGGCAGCCAAGGCAGGCCCAGCUGACUUGUAAAAUGCAUUCCCUAGUUGAACUUUAAUCCCAGAAGCAUGAAUCUCUUGUCCAAAUCUCAACACCCCAGAAUGUUGACAGGCAGCAAGGACACUGGAAAGGCAGUCUACAUCCGGACAAACUUUUCCUCGGCGAACCAUAGUCCUAAAAAGAUCCAGAGCUUCUACAUGUUUUCCUAUUCUAGAAUAACCAGAUAUCAAAAUUGUCCAUGAUAUUACAGUAGGUUCCUCAAUCUGCCUAAAUAUUUUCAAUGCGUCGUCACAUUGCCCCAUUCGACAAUAAGCAUCCAUUACAGAAUUCCAAGCUACAAUAUCAGGCUCCAUCCCAUCCAAUCUCAUAGACCCCAGCAUUCCCACAGCCAGCUCAGCAAAUUCAUUAUAUACGUACCCUGAAAUCAUUGCAUUCCAUGACAACAAAUCUCUCCCCACCAUAAGAUCAAAAACCAACCUUCCAGAACCAAGCUCCCCACAUUUUGAAUACAUAUCAAUCAAAGCAUUGCAAACCCGGACAUUAAUUUCCACUCCACACACAAUUACAUCUUUAUGAAGCUGAAUGCCAACUUCUAAAUGCAAACUCACAGCGCACGCUUUCAAAGCCUUCGGAAACACGUAAUUAUCAGGCAACACACCCUUGAGUUUCAUUUCUUUGUAAGUGAAUAUGCACUCGUUAAAAAUCCCAUUUCGCGAGUAGAACGCAAUGAUAGCAGUCCAAGCGAACACGUUUGGUUCAGACAAUUUGUCAAACAACCGGCGGGCGAUCUCUAUCUUGUUGCAGUCUGCAUACAUUUGAACCAAUUUGGUAGACAUGAAAUAAUUCUGUUGAAGCCCAUUAAUGAUGAUUUGCUGAUGGGCCUGUUUUCCUUGGUUUAGCGCUUUAGAAUUGCUGCAGAGUUGAAGCAAAUGGUUGAGUUGAACUGGGGUAGGUAAUUUGAAAUUGGUAGUGUUAACAGAAGAAAUUUGUCUACGAACAGUCCAAAAUAGUCUCAUCCAAAUGGCAGUAGAGUCGCAUCUGGGUAGCUAAAUAGAAGUUGGUGUACAAAUAUACGGAUAUGUCAAAUAUUUCUUCGUGUCAAAUUAUUCUGAGGAGGGGACAAAAAAGGGUGUAACUCAUGGGACAAUGAACACACAUUUACUCAAUUUUCAAUGUCGAGAUUUUGCUAGUACUUAAGCGUGGACAAUCACAUAUCAUAAAGACAUAACCCAAAGUCUGUCUACUUCAAUAAAUCAAACAUGAUUCUUAAAACACUACGGAAAAAUCCAUAUAUAAUCCCGAUAGAGGACAGAAAAUGGAAAAUAAAUAAAUAAAUAAAAACCCAAGACACGAGGAGGUGGGAAUAAGAAUUUUAAUACCACUGGUACUAUUUAAUUUGCAAUUUGAAGAAGUUAAUAGAACAUUUGGCAUGUAUGACAAACAUGGAAUCCACUCAUUCAACUAACUACUGUAGAUAAAACAGGAAAGAACUUAAAGAAGUUUCUAAAUCUCUAGGAAACAGAUAUGACCCGGGAUUGGACAUACUACAGCCUUUUGAAAGCUUGUAUAAUACAAUAAUGUCUGAAGAAACAGAAGAGUAAACCCGAAAAACAACCGUUAUACUGCUUCUACUGAGCUUGAGAUUUCUGGCGCUUUAUGUACUGAAGGAUUGGCUCUCUGACCUGUGAAAGAAAAUGGUACAUCUCAGGAGAGAAUUAUAUCAGGAUGACAAAUAUCUAACCAGUUUAUGGCGGCAAAUUUAGAGCAUACCGUGCUUGCUUUCCUGUAACGCUUGCCUUGUGUAGACCUGCUACAUAAAACAGUGUCAACUUCAUCUUGGAGAUUUGCGUUUGAUUUUUCUCUGCCAUUCUCAGCCCCAGCAGCAAAACUCUCCCCAGAAGCCACGGGCUGUCAAACGCCAAUACGUUAAAAUCAAACCACUGAAAUAUAUCAACAAACAGAUAGAAUUGUGUUGCUUUCAAUAGAUGGUUUUUGUCAUUUCAUGACUGAAAAAACCUCAGCUCUACUCAUGGGCGUAUUUCCGUGCUCCUUUCUCUUUGAGACGGUGUGCUCGCUCCUAAUAGAGCCAUUCUCAUAUCCAUCAGAUCGGCCUCUGGUACGUGUAAGAUCUGAUCCAAUAGAGUGAAGGCCACCACAGGUGGACAAAUCCUUGUGACUAUUUCCUAAUUAGCCACCAACAACAUCAUUAAUUUCCAUUACAGCAUGCAAGAGUCAUCUCUCUCAUCCAAAAGUACAGAGGAGAUAUGAUCAAGUACCAUUUGCCUCAAUCUCUGGACGGUUGGCCUUUUUAGUAGAUUCAUUCACAUCCACAUCCUGGCCAUAAAAAAGUUGAUUAGGAAUAAUUAAAGACGUGCACUAUUAUAUAAGCCUUCUAAGUGAAAGUGUAAAAAACGACGACUAUCACCAUGGCAUCCAAGUCCAGGGCUUUCUUGACUUCCAACAACUUUUUCUCUGUCAGGUCUGAGUGUAUGACUCGCCUCCCUAAGACGAAAACUGAAAAAUGUAAAUGAUACAGCUGCUUCCAAACAUAAAGACUAGACGACGUGUUUGAACUGAAUGUACCUAAUUUGCGGUUACUGUUAGCCUCAACAAAGCCAUCUUGGGUCAUUUUAUUUAUUAACUUCCGCACAGUGGUCAGGUUGGCUUCUCCAUCGAGUUUACUCUGAAGCUUUGCAGCAGUGAUGUAGUUCAUUGGGAGAGCAUGAUACAAAGCCUGAAAAAAAGAGAGAACCAUUUUACAAGCUAUGUAGGAAUAUAGGAAAGAAAUAGCGACCUGGAGAGCAACUUGACUUCAUAACCACAGUCUUCGUCAAAUGUGAUGCAGGGAUAACCGAAUUUUGAUGAACUCCAAGUUAUCCUACCCUUUAUUUAGAUUCUUAUUUUCCACGUUUUACCUCAAAAUUCUUAUUUAGUCAAUCAAACCGGACUCGCAAUAAAAAACAAAGCAGCUCUGCCCAUCGGUUCCAGAGGAUGUGCAGUAGUCGAAUUGGAAAAAAAUCUCUUCUUGAAACAAAAACAACAAUUGUUGCAUUUCCAUAGUAAUCAGGCAAUAAAGAAUCAAUAGACCCAACUAAAAAUUUAAGCAUAAAGUAGACAACAUAGCACACUCUUCAGCAGUUCUUUCUAUUUCCUUUUCUGGUUACAUAAAACCAAUGGCAGCUCAUAUUGCAUACUCAUGAGCUCAGUAGUAUGCUGCAACGUAUCCUUAAAUGAGGUUGACAUGCUUUACAGAGGAAAUUCUGAUGGUCCAAAAGAUUAGCUGCUAAAUGAUAUUAAAUUUUGCCAAACGUGGACAAGAAAUUUCAAAAUAACUCACCUUCAUGUACAUAAGACCAUCAUCUGUACUGUACUUUCCAAUUGGUAACAUUUGAACAUUGGUUUCUUCUUUCACAACAUCAAAGUCAUAGUCAAAUUUCUGCAAUUGACACAUUGCCAAAAAGGGAAAAAAAUUAAGACACGACAACAAAUAUGAGUAAAAAAUGCUAAUCAACCAAUGAAAAAGUGCUACCUUCUUUUUGUUGAUAUUAUAACUGUCUUCACCAGAUUUUGAUAGUACACCUUCCUUAAUGAGCUUAUCCAUGAUUUCUGAUACGAGUAAAACCAGGACGAAAUGAUGAAACAGUGGCAACAGUAAGUUUGUUUUGUAAUCAGCUUUAGCACAAAACAGGUCUCUGAGUUACCUUCAAUCAAAACCUGCAAUAGAAAUUUACAAUGAUAGCAUGAACCAUACUCCUUUACUAUGAAGGUGCUUAAUUAAGCUUAUUAGAAGAUUUUCAAAGAGAUCGAUUUUCUUUAACAUAAUUUCACCAUAUAAACUACUGCUUACCACUGAGAUAUCUGGAAAGUUUGCGAGAAUGUCAGUAAGUUCAAUGGUUUCAAGGUGGUACGUGUUGAUCCAGUCCUUUACCCGCUCUAAUUGUUGUCCAUCCUCUGCCGGAUCCUGAGUAUCAUCUGAACAAAUAGCUUGCCAUGGAUCAGAUUGUGAUCCUGAAGUCCAGUAUUAUUUUUUAAGCAAGUAGAUGUAUACCUUCGUCAACAGUGGUGCCAUUUUCAGGACCCUGCUGCUUUUCUGCCAAAAGAAUAAUUAUUUGCUGAAUUACAUAAAAAAGGUGAAUCUUCAAGAAUUUGCAAAGCACAACACAAUAAUGUCCAUUUACCGACUGGCGCAACUAUGUAUUGAUCUUCAUCUGACAUACUGGCCUGAAAUGAAUUCCAGUUAAAAAGUUUUAGUAUGUUGCAACAUCUUGAAUUAUGUAUGCAAGAGGGAAAGUUUAAACAGAAAGUGCUAUUGAGACAUUACAUCACUAUCAGAAUCACUAUCUCCGUCAGUCUGAGAAGAAUCAGCAGCUCCCAAGCUCACUUCAUCCUGGUUUUCAUCAUGUUCAUCCUCACAAGGAUCAAGCACACUCUUAACCUACACAAGUUCCCAUCACAAUCAAUGUGGAUUAGAUGCAGCCCUUGACCUAAAUAGCAUAAUUUCCCGCAGCUACAUCAUUUACCUUCAGAGUUAGUACCAAAUGCUUGCUGUUGACAUUUCCAACCUCCAUCUUGAGAGGAAUUUUACUCCAGGGAUUUUGAGCUUCCUCUUCUGUGCAGCCUCGGAAGAAAGGAGGCUCAUAAUCAGCAGGCUGCAAGAUCAAGAGUUUUUCUCUUACUUUAUGUGGACAAUAUAAGGAAGCCAAGCAAAUGCACAACUUUAAAGAAUCCAUAAAUGCAACUUUAUGGAGGUGGAUUAAUCCAUGAGAUACCUGCCAUAUGCAUGGCCAUAACUACUCGAGUCCUAACAGAAGACUAAACUAUCCCCCUCAUAUACUAAUUACCUAAAUAUUUCCGAUAUAGAAGAUUAGAAUACCUCAAAGAGUAUGACAGUAAAUUAUGGGAAUCCUUGAAUAUUUCAAUUUCUGUGUCAUGUACUCCAAAGAAGAAAAUGGAUAGACAAUCUAUGUGUGUAUACAAUUUAACUACCUGAAACUCAAAUAAUAGUUAUUAAAGUUCUUUAGAAACUCAAUAAUACAAUGAGUGGUGGAAAUAACUGGUAAAUUAUAACUUGAUAAAGCACAUACCGUGAUAUCCUCAUACAAGAGCUUCAUCAGGAUAAUACGCUGAAAGAAAAUAAGUAUGUUAGGUUUAGAAUCAUGGAAACAGAAAAUGACCUCAAGUAUGAGUAACAGAAGUAAUUUCAAUUUAAGUUUAAAAAUAACAGUAAAGUACCUCUUCUGGCAUCUGGUCCAGAGUUCUCAUCAGUUGAACCAAUGUUCUGACCAUCUUACAUGCAGAACUCCUGAAAACAAUGGCUUGCAUAAAACUCCAAGCCACUCUUGAAAUAAAGUAACAUUUUCAACAUAACAACAACCAGAAUCUAGAUCCACUUAUCUUGCUUGAACUACCUCAUCUCAUUGGGAGUAACUUCUUUUGUGGAAUUGCAUUUGAAGGUCCCUCCCUUCUUGGUUCCAGAACGAUUAAUGUUCAUUGAAACUUCUUGAGAAUCAGAAUUUGGAUAACUGAAAGAAACUGUGGGAACAAAUGUGUUAAUAUAUGACCAAAGCAACAGUGGAAUGUUAAAAAAACAAAUUUCCUAAAACAGAGAGCAGUAUCUAUGUCCUGCUUUAUGUAUUAUGUUCAUCACUAAGCAAAUUUUAAAGUGGUAUGAACCUAAGCUGUAGAAGCACAAAGGUAGUUCCUCAAGAAAAAAACUAAAAUGCAACUGUCUUUGUCUGAGUUCAUGAUUUAGUGUUGUUGUACAAAAUAUCACAUGUAAAAGAUGAUACGGUGUUGUCAACAUUAUCUCCACGACCACAAAUUCCUGCAGAGCAAAUUUAAAUUGUAGCAUCUUACAUGCAUAUUCUUCAAUCAUUGGCCCUUCAACAGCUUCACACACACAAAAGAGAAGCGUUUUCAGGUACUUCUUCUGUAAUGCAUCAUAAACACCUACAAAUGAAAAGAAACAUGCGUGAAAUAAAAUAGAGAGAAUAAGAUUCUGAGCUAUAAUUCCAGCAGAUAAGGAGAUAGACAGGCCUUUUUCCAUCCAGUCAAUGAGUCUGCGUGACUCCGCAUCCAUUGGCAUUAGUUUCUUAAUUUUCAUAUCUGAUAAUAAGGCAGAGAGUAAUAGAAUCAAUCCUGAAACUCAGUAAGCACAUUUAGCACAAGUGUCAUAGAAAGUUUACCCAAGGCUGGAACAGAUUUGUCAGUGAAAUAUUUCUCAGGGAAAAGGCCCCUGAUGUAACUAAUGUUGAAUAUUGCAAUUCGCAGCAGAUUCCUCGUCUGUUGAUUGUCACAGAUAAAAUAAGAUGGAGCGGUUCGUGGUGUCCUCAACAGAUAAGAGUAUUCAGAUAUUAGAAACCUUAACCAAAGAAAACAAUCUAAAACACAAUCGAGAUUUGCUCCAAGUAAAACAAACAGAAAAUCACCAUUCUCAGUUUUGCAGGAGGUUUUACCAGGGAGAACUUGGUAAAUUAGACUUAUAUUAUGAUUAACAGAGAUUAUAGCACAUAAUUAACCAAAACAGGGGACGAAUCAGAUCUCUCCAUUGGAUAACCGAGUAAUUAAACAACUAUAACUAAAUUCAAUGCUAAUUGUGUGUACAAUUUGCGUAAUACUCCUCUACUCUCUCAUCUCUAAGAGCAAUUUGAUGAACUUGAUCAAAACACAUGAGAUGAACAAGCAAACAUCAGGCAGAAUUCAUCAUUUAAAAGCGCAAUAUCUCCAGUUAAAACUCCAAUACAGUUAAAUUCUUAUGAGAAAUACUCAAGGACGCAAACUGCUUCAAAAGUCAAUAUCUGGAAACUACAUUAGGCCAUGAUUUGUGUAAUUUUUCAUUCAUCAUCCAAAGAUAGAACCUCCAGUGAUCAAAAUUCUACACUAAGUAGCAAAAAGAAGAUCAGAAAAUAUGGCAACUAAAAUGACGGAAACAGCUCCGUUGCAUCAUCUGAUCAAAUUAAUCAAGACAAAAGGCGAAAUAACAGCAUCAUCAACUCGAGCAACAUGCAUACCGAACGUUGAAGAUAGAAGAAAAAGCUACUAGUACUCAAACUUUUAACAACGUAAAACAUUUUUAAAAAAAAUCAAUGGAUUAAAUCACCAGGAGAAGCGAGUCCUGCUCGGUAAUCUCCGAUUCCUUCACUUUCUGCACAACAACCUGAAAACAAAGAGGAAUUCAUGGUUAAAAUUUCUGGAAAUUCAUGCCGCACGCGAUCGGAGCUGAGAAAAAGCGACGAAGUUUGAAGGAAUGCUAAAAAUCUCGAAGAGAUUAUCUUAGCUCACCAUUUUUGUUUCUCGUUCCAGAAUCUGUUAGAGAGAGAGAGUUGGAAAACUUGGAGAGAAGGAACGAAAGAAAAAUUUGAAAUGCGUUUGUAGUAAAACGGAAAGAUGCUGAAAUGGAAUGAAGAAGAAGAAGAAAACUGGCGGGAGUUUAUAUAGAGACGUCAAAGGUAACGCGUGGUUAAUUGCAAUUAACUGUGGUUAAUUGGGCAAUGUGGAUUGCAUGAGGGGAGGGGCAGACUUGUAUUUCUCUUUAAAAGUCGGGGUAUUUGGAUGAAGAAUGGUAUUCGUCUUUUCUAUUUUUGUGGUUUGAGAAAAUAAUAAGGAAUUUACGAUUUUUCCUUUUACUUUCUGUAAUUUAUGAGAAAAUAAAUUAUGGUGACGGAUUAAUCAUAUUAAGCCGGUGUGCAUUUAAUUGGUAAGAAAUUAAACAAAAAGAGUAAAAAAUAUUAGGUUAUUGUGCGAAUGUUGCCUAUGGAAUUUUCUUGUUUUCCAUUUUUUCUUUAUAUAAUUUCAUGGGUUUUUUUUUUUGUAUAUUUUGACAUUUUUUUUAUAUAUAAAUAGGAGGUUUUAAAUUCAAAACUUCCUAUUUACGAUCCCUCCUACUGUACUACCCAACCUAAUUUUAUGAAUGAAUUGUCGCAUUAAUAUAUUGUAAUUCUAUUUCAUAAAUGGAUUUGACACAAUUAUAUUCUAUUACUUUUUGUUUGCAAGGACGUGGAAUAUUAGAGCAAAUAAACAAUUGCAAAAAAAAGAAGAAGAAGAACAGUGAGUGCAGAAUUCUGCAUUGGACUUGCAAUCCUUUGUUCACCUUUUAAACAAUGAAUCUUGUUACAGUUAGGUGCUCUGAGCCACCAUAUUCACAAUGAUUUUGCAGAAUUUUUUGUAUUGCUUCCCUCCUUAUAUUAACAAUGAUGUUAAUUCACCAAAGCUACUCCAAGUCAUUAAGCAUGACUUGUCCAUCUUAGCCUGUGCGUUUGGUUCCCUGAUCUCAACUGUUGAGACCUUCUAUCCUUGAGAAACUAAAGCUUACAGAGAUAUUUCAAGAAAAGUUGGAAAUCAAUCCAGCAUAGCGCAAAAAUUACAAAAUCUAUAAAGAACUUUAGUACUUAUUUUACUAGCCCUUGUAAAACACCCCUCUAAUCUUACAAUGGCAUUCUUAUAGAAGAGAUCGUAUGCCAGAUAACGGCUGCCAACUGGGAAAAAUGGAGCCAUACUACACAAGAAAGAACUAAGCAAGACUAAGAAGUUAAUCUUUUCUUUCCUUUUUUUUUUUAUGGAGGAAUAAGAAGUUAAUCUUCAUCAUUUCUUUUCUAUAAUAUACAAAAGAAAGAACAAUGUCAAACCACCCAGCUAAUCUGCAAUUCUCUCAAACCUAAGACUGCCUUCAUCCAAGACAGCCAUGUGCUUCCUUUUCUUGGAUAAUUUAGUAGAACUUUGCCCAUCAGUGUACUGAGCAGCUGUACGAGCCCGCAGUUCCUCUAAGCUCUCACCUUCUUUUGCUCUCUCCAAAACCUGAAGGUCAGAACGGCAAUCAGAUAACUUGGAACAGAUAUAAUAUAUUCAUGUUUCAAGAGGUCUCAACUAACAUACCAGAUGGCGACCAUACAGAUGGGUGUUAGAAAGAGCUUGAAGAGCAUUCUUUGUCUCUUGCUUUGUCACAUAUUCCACAAAGGCAAAACCUCUGUGCUUCCCGAACCUCAUUGGCAACCUCAAAUGCUUUAUCUGGUUCCGUAUCAUACUUACGAUGUCAGUCAAAGAGAAUAAAUUUCAAUGAAUAUGAUAGAAAAAGAGGCUGUUCAACUUUAGUCCACCUCAAUCGCCAGAAAGAAAGAAAAAACAUUUAAGAACAACCAUACAACAAAAACUUUUUUGUCAGAAGCCCUUCAGCUUGAUUCUCAAUUUAUUUCCCUCCUCUUCUUUACUUUUGGGCCGACAAGGGGGGAGGGGGAGUGUGGUGGUAAGUGGGGUUGCCGCAAUUUUGAUAACUGCCUCAAGAUGAAACCCCAAGGUAUGAUGUAGGACAUUGGCAAGGCGUUGAGUCUUUGCCAGCCCGCCAACCCAACCCCAACCUCUCUUUCUCAUUUUUUGGAAAUUUCAUGAAAGACUUUCGUCCGACUCUAGAAAAACCAACAGAAAACAUUUGACAAGCUAGAAACAACAAAGAAAGAAAAGGAUGGCAUGAUUCUGCUGUCAGGUUUGAAAGAGGCAGCAUAGCACACAGAAGAACUGCAAAUUGUGCCACAACUGAAACUCAGGUGACCUAUAAACCUCAUUAGCUGGUGUGAAACAUGCUUAUCACUGUGAUCAUGUGAGCUUAUAUAUAGCAUAUUGAACUGUCACUGCUGAUUAUGCUUGAUGUUCAAAAUAAACAGAGUUAGUAUCUGUAAUCCACAUGUAAGAACCUAAAUGGAGUGCAGUAGUUCAUUUUGAGGUCUAGUUAUUACUUAACCAAAUAAGUAACUUAUCAAUCAUUGAUUCAACAACACAAUACUCUACUACUUAUGGUCGUGACUCUUAACAUGGCAAUAAGUAAUAGCUACCUGGCCAAAUGGACUGAAUAAUUGUUUAAGAUCUUUCUCCGUCGCCUCAAAAGCUACAUUUCUCACUAUUAAUUUUGUCGAACUCCUAUCAUUCUCCCCUAUUUUAGGCACUUGUUCGUCCUUCUUAGCAUGACAAAGUUGCAAAAUAAGUGCGUGCCCAUCUAAAACAGUUCCCUGGGGCAAGGAAAAGAAACUGAAAUUAGUAACUCAAAACAGUCUAAAAAGGUUUAAAGGUUGCAUGAACAAUAAAUAUUACCUGUAAAUCUCUGCAAACAUUCAUUGCUGUAUCCAUGGAAUCAAACUCUAUAAAACCAAAACCCAUAGAAACAUUUUUCCCAUUCUUUACAUGUUUCUUCACCUGAAUGCGAAAAUCAUUGAGUACAGGAAAGCAUCUAAACAUGUGAGUGAUGACAACAGUAGCACUGGAAGUAACAUGUUCUGAACUGCUGAUGAAGUUAAGAGAAUAAGAAGCAGAAGCACUACCCGGACACUCUGUACUCUUCCUUCCUUCAGGUGUCCGAUGAAAUGCUUUUUCAAGCUCUCAUCAGAUGUUUUGAAGUUCAGGUUUUUCACGUACAAAGAUCUCGACUGUAUGACCAAAAGAUGGCAAACAAAUGAGUUCUAGAAUGGACCCUCAAGCUCAAACACAUGACCCUAAAUGCAGCUCAUGCACCAAAUAACUCGAGAACAUUAUGGAGGUCAAUAGUAGGUAAAUCACUAAGAUCAACAUUGUCUGAAUCAAAUUGUGUUUCCUAAUUGAAGCUUGAUCUAAAGGCAACCAAGCUUUACUCAUUUGCCACAAACAGACAACAGACACACACACACAGACACAGAAGGUAUCAAAAUAUUUUGAAAGAGGAGGGAUUGUUGCAAUGAACCAUCGUUACUUCCCUUCACUUCAUCAAAGGCCACUGGAUAUUUUACCUUAAGAUUAUGUUUCCUAAUUGAAGCUUGAGGCGGUGACAACCAACCUUGACCCAUUCGGAACCUUCACGUAAGGAAUUAAAAUCGUCUGGAGGGGUAUUAGUUGCGAUGAACCAUCUUUACUCCCUUACUUCGUCGAAGGCAGCUAGUUAUCUUGUCUUAUGCUAGUUAUCCUAGAUAUUAUCAUGUGGAAAGAGGAAAGAGAGUUGUAUUUUGUCUAUGACAAGUGUCAACAACUACAAUAAUCAACACACACUAACAGUUUUUACUUUCUCCACAGUGAAGUUUAGUCAAAACACCCGAACCAAGCGGAACUUAUAAUUGGUCAUAUGCGGUGCCUUUAAAGCCAACCAAAUUGAUAACUUUGAAAUCAAGAUAAACAUUAUAAUUCAUGAAAUCCGGGCAGGAGGACACAAGUCCUUUAUAACUCUUAAGUGCAACUAAAGCUUGAGCUGUAACACGCAGGCUUGAAUUUCAUGCAUCCAUAAGUCACAUUUUUCUGAUAACCCCCCCCCCCCCCCAAAAAAAACCACAACCAAAAAAAAACCCCCCAAAAACCAAAAAAAAAAAGAAAAUCAACAACAACAAGACUUCAUUUAAAACAUAGGAACUGUAGAAGGGAGAAGGGACUAUAACCACACUCAGCACCACCUAGUUGAAAACCAAUAGAAGAUUUAAACAAAUACAAUAAUUGUAAGAUGAAAACUACCAAUGAAGAAGAGUGAUGACAUGAAAUAGCUCAUAUUAUCACCUCAACCCUGUCAGGAUCAACGUCAGCAUCCGUAAUUCCUCUUUGUUGCUCUAACAAAACUUUCUUUACAUCAUGCUCACCAACAACAUUAUCAUCUGAACCAUCUGAAGAUGAUGCAUUUUGACUAAGGAUGUUUGCAGGUGCCCAUUCCAAGUACAGUGGAGCAUCUCUACGUCACAAUAAGAGAUGUCAUUAUUAAUGUAACUAAUAUUUACCAUCUUGCAGAUUUUCUUGAAAUUAAAAGUAUCACCAUCAGGUUAAAAAGCUAAAAAAGCCAAUCUCUAAACUAGGGAGGUCAAUUAAUUGACUGAACAUGUCAUUAAAUACGUUCAAAAACCCACAAACAACAAAAGAAGCUGUCUGCAUGGCAUCUUUCAAACUUGAGGAUACAUUUUAUACUAUGAGAAGCAAGACAACAAUGAUAUUAAAGUGCAUUGGCAAAUUGGAUAGUAAUCUCACAAUUCAAGUACUCAAGUUAUUUAUGUAGAUGACUAAUGAUAGCAGUUUAUCCACAUAAAUUGGAUUUAGAUACGUGAAUUUUUGCUUCAACUAAAUCAGACACAUAUGAUAAAGCUUUCAAACAUGUACUCAUGUAACAUAAUUGUGGUUAAGCCAGCAUAAUAUUCAAAUAAAAGUGAACCAGCACAUAAAUUAAAAAAAUUCUACACUAUUUCCCACAAAGAACCUUUAACAACUGCACAAAUAUUUUGCCUAAGAAGCAUGACUACAGAAAGCACAACAAGCAAUGUAACCAUAAAAACAAGGCCAUGUACAUCAUGAAUUUCUAAAGGAGAGAAUGGGAGGAAAGUAUGACAAGCAAGAAAGAGAGCAUAUGUAUGUAGACAAGAUGCAAGAAGACAGCAGGCAAGACAUAAAGAGAAUUAUUUCAAACUCCCAGCAGAUUAUAAACAAGAGGAAACUAAAUCAGCACGCAUGGAACUUAAUUCAAAUGCAUGUCUCCUCUAGAUUACAAGUUUUUUUUUUUGCAAGAGACAAACAUCCAAAACCUUCUAUAAAACAGGGUCAGCAAAAGGGAUUUCAGGCACCUCCCAUCUUCCAACAAUAAUGCCAAAAAAAGCAAGCACUCAGAUGGUGCAUGAGACCAAGAAUUUGAAAACGACUAUCUGAACCUCAAGAACUAUUAGUUUCAUUUCUCUAUCAAAACAGCCUUGUUGGUCCUUGUAAAAGGCUAAAUCUAUAGAAAGGAACAUGGAAGAACACUGAGUUGUGGCCAGGCCAACCCUUAAAUCAAUAGAAAAAGCUCAAAGCAAGGCAUAAAAUUAGCAUAUAACUGCUUGAAAAUAUGCAAAAUAACUCAAUCAGUAUCCAAUAUGCCAAAUAACUUGGAUAGGAAAUGAAAAUUAGCUCCUUAAAAAAAGAUAAACAGGAUUGGAAGCAGCUGCUGCAAAGUAUCAUGAAUCCAUUAUCAAUCAUGCAUGGUUCCUAUGAAAUACAAGAAAAAGUCCUUAUGUUCUGCUUCUAUGAAACAAAAUCAGCAGUCUGUCUACAUAUUCUCUACCACAAUGCAGGAUGGAUUUCAAUAGUUUACAUAUUGUUAAGAGAAAUGAAGCAGCUUAAUGCAGCACUUGGGCCAUGAAUAUCAGAUUUUCCCAUGCUUCAUCGCUAGGUUAUGACCAACUCAUAACCAAAUAUUCAACAAAUUUGUUCCAUUUACUUAAUGUGUAACACUAUUACAUACACAAGUAGCAUGUAAAACCUUGCUAGCUUUGACUCCAUGACAAAUUGAGAGUUAGAAUCAGCUGAAGACUUUAGUUGGUUUCCCAAGCUUAAGAAACCACUAUCAAAGCUUCCACGCAUCAAGGACAUGAUAGAAGAGUGCCAAGCACAGAUACCAGAUCUACAGGCAAAUAACGAAUGCAGACAAUGAGUACUAAUAGUGAACGAGGGUGCAAAACAUACUUGUAACGCUUGUAAGCUAAACCCCUGAAAGCUGCACGUGCUUCAGCCGCUUCAAGGAAGACAACCUAAGUUUCGCAAUAAUAAGAUAGCAUAAGAAUCUGAAGCAUUUAAAAGAAUAACCAUAGUCUAUCCAGUUUCUUCAUCAUGAUAUUUCAAUACUCUAUAUAGCAUGAAAAGCAUUUCUAUCCCUAAAUAUCACUACACACAUUUUGCUCAACUUUUGUCCAAUGCCCACCACUGAAAGUUGUAGUAGCAUGGUUUAAAUUUUAAAUAUAAAAAUGUUGACAUUAACUGUGAGUAUGGGAGAGAGAGUAUAUAUUGUCUUUGCUCGAGCGUAAACCUGUGUAUACGGGUGUGUGAAUUUGUCCACACCUGCAUGCCACUAGCUAUUAUAUGCAAGACAGAGAGCACAAGACACAGCUCCAGUCAGAGAAAUAAUGCAAAAGAGUUUAGCGCUAUAUAUGAAGUUGAUAUCAUGAAAAGGUGUGGAAGCCAUUCACCAAUAAUAUGUAAGACAGCUCCAGUCAGAGAAAAAUCAUGCAAAAAGUUUAAUGCCAGAUAUGAAGUUGAUAUGAGUCAAAGUGAUCUAGUCAACUCAAUGUCUAACACGUGAAAAAAUGCAUGUAAAGAACAAUUCAGAAAAUGUAAAUAUUGGUGUGAUAGCUCGAGAAGCCAGAACAAAUAUGAUCUGAGCAAUAAAGCAUGAAAAAGAUACAACAUAAAGACGAAUAGGAAGUUUUCCUAUUUUAAAAGUGAAAAAAAUAAGUAAAUCCAUAAAAAAUUAAAAAACCUAAAAGAAGUGCUCUAUGUGCACCUUCAAGGUCAACUAUGUCGAAUGUUCAGUAACACAACGUAAAAUGGACAGCAUUCAUUUGUCACAUCCCAAAAGCAGGGAAAAGAAAAAUUUUCAAGCAGAGAAGAUGCAUACCAAAGCCAAGGUUUUUGACGGAGGUAGAAUUAUUUUGUCCAGGCUCCCAUAUUUCCCAAACAUGUUAGCUAGUUCACCUUCAGAUGAUCCAUAAGGCAAGUUCUUCACUAAAAUAACAUGGUUGCUUCUUUUUAUACCAUCAGUUUUUCCAGAAGCAAAAUCCUCCAAGGAAGCAACAUUGACCCCAGCAUUUGCCAAAGCCUUUUUUGUCUCCGCAAUCACUUGAGUUUCUCCCAGAGCAAUACGAACAGCCAAGUCAUCAGCUUCCUUAUCUAAAAGGUCGCUCUUACUUACGCCAAAUUUUCGAGCAAUAUUUUCCACAACCUACAAUUUAUGAAGCAAGUGAAAAAGAAUUAGAGUUUGCUCCACAUAUACAAAUUAGGAGAAGACAUGGAAAAAGAAACUAUUACAGACAAUACCAAUCCAUAGUCAAAGAUGAACAUAUUAUGAUGCCAUACAAGAUAUAGAAAUGAUUAUUACACCAAAAUAAAGCAAAUUUAAAGACACUAAGGGAAUCCUAAAACAAAACCACAGGAAAAAUUGUUUUGGAUAAAUUAAGACUAAGCAGGAAAAAUUAUCCUAACUACCGCCAGAUAAGAAAGAAUUAAGGAGAAACCAAAUUAAAAUAUAAGAACCAAAUAGCAGUAUAACCAUUAUAAGAAAGGAUAAAGUAAUAUAGGAACAUAUCAAGCAUCAAACUCUGUCCAACAAUGUACAUACAGUUGACAGAGAAAACCAAUAGCGUAACUUGUAGGGUGAGAAAUGCUCAACAGGUAUGACAUUUGAAGUUGAGACUCUAAAUGAGGAAAACCUGCAGAUGCGAAACUCUAGUAGAUAUGAGAAACAAUAUUCUUGUCCCCCAAAAAAUAAAAAAUUCUCUAGCACAUGCAUAACUAAAAUUAGUUCUAAAGAACUAAGGCAGUACUUGAGCAACCAAAGCAGCUGACUACAUCAGACAGCCAAACAACUAGAAGAUUAAAGAUGCUAUAACAUUCAGAGGAAAUCCUGAUUUAGGAAAGAGGUUAAAAACAUUGACAGCUUUACUCCGCAGCUUUACUCAGUUGAAAGGAAGACAUCAAAACUAGAGGUUGCAAUUCGUGGGCAAAGGAUGAAGUGGAGAGAGCAUGCAUUUUGCAUGGCACCAAAGGGAGUUGUACCUUUUUUUUCCUAUUGUUGCUUUCUUUGCAAUAACACAUUUUCACUAUAUAGUGUACCUAUGUGAGGAGAAAUCUAGAUUCAUUUUCAGUCCUUAAUCUAAAAACAUAAAAAUGACAUCAUUAUCGGGGGCUGCAUUUGUUCUUUUUCUCUCCUCGAGAACAAAUGCAUGCACCAAAAUCACUCAAUCAAUCAUUUGAAUUCUAUCUUCUUUUCAUCUUUUCAUUCUAAGGAACAACACGGAUAGAAGUCAUGCACAUGAGGUACAGUAUGUCCAAAAGAGUGCAUUCUUCCAAAAGCUCAACAAAAGUAUUCACAACAUAAAAUAUCAAUUAAUGCAGAAUGCGAACAUAAUGUUGAAUUAUCCAAUAAACAUGUGUUUCCUUCAAGUUUUGAACUCCAAACAUUUGCGCUUGCAAUAACAUAAUAUUAUCGCCUAAAGCUGAUCGUUGUUUUCAUAUUCUUUUUUAAGUCCUGUCAGUACUCGUCCCUCUCUCUCUUCAAUUGUGUAAUGGGUAGUGGGGUUGCAGAUGAAUAGGAUAAUGUAAUCAAUCUCCAUAAGUUCUUAAACACAGAGGCCAACAGCUAAACUAAUCAUCUUACAACUUAAAUAUUAACACUCAUUUAAAGAAAAUAACGAUAUAUACUAUUCGCUCAUUAUCAUGUUGCCCCAAUGAUAAAAUGUUACCUAGUGAUAAAGCUAUUAUUCCUCCCUGCAGUAAGACAGAAGGCCUGUUUUAAUGGUAAAGUACCAAACUACACAACAAAUUCUCCAAUCCUAUGGAAGAAUAACUACUCUUUUUGUCUUGGGAGAGAAGGAUAAAAGUCAUUGGAUGAAAGGUACACGACAUGAAUGGGCUUAAUCUGGCAUUAAACCAGAAGCAGUCUCUAUGAAGGUGUUUGCCCAGUGCUCAACGUACCAUUAUCUUGAAGCUUUAGAAGAAGAAACCAAAGGAAGACUAUAGAACAAGCAAUUGAUGUAGAAUACACCAGGUAAUUUUACUCUUGUAGUCAACAUACUCGAUGGAGCGACUUCGGGAAUUGUAAAUAAAGGUUUUCUCCUACUCUUUGUUAGGGACUGGCAAGCAGCCUUGUUGUAUGUUGGGUUGAAAAAGAAGCAAAUAGAAACGAGAAGAAUAGAAUAGAAAGCUAGGAAUCCUGAUGAUGAAAUAGAAGGUCAAGAAACUUAAACAAAAUCCUCAUCAAAUUUUAAGGGUAAACUCAAAAACAUAUGCAAAUCCUGCAGACCAUUAUAAAUUCUUUCUGAGUCAAGCUGUGAAGAUGAGUAAGAAACAUACUGUAUCAGGGCGCAUGAACAAGCUAUUCCAUGAUCGUGUAUUUCCACUAGCCUCAGAUGUCUUCCUCUCCUCCACCUUCUGUUGCUUAAAGGUUUUUGCAGACUGUUGAGUCAACACAUUGGUCCUACAACACAAGAACAGUAGAAGUGUGGCUCUUGUCAAUCAUACAGCUUCUAAACAAGUACACAGGAUACAUUAUUGAUAUUUAAACCUUCACAUCGACGUAAUUUUCCCUGUAUGCAUUUCAAAAAAGAAAAAAGAAAAGGAAGACCAACAAUCUCUGCAGAAUAGAAAAAUCUAAAAAUUUAACGGGGAAAAAAACUUACUUUUGUUUCUCAGAAGAACUGUUUUGUUUUGCCACCAUAACAUGCAGUAAUCUUCCUUGGAAAAUGGAACUAUCCAGUUCUUCUAGUGCCCUAAAGAAAUCUAGAAGUUAGCUGCUUGAAUUUUCAGAUGCACAUACGAUGAAUACAAAUUUACACGACUUUAUGCAAUAGAAUUACAAAUGACAUGCUCUCAAAAUAAAUAAAAUAUGCCAAGGAAAGACGGAAAAAAGAACCCUAACAUGCUAUAGAACUCCUUGGGAGAAGAAAAUUUCAUUGUUAAUAUAGUGACAAAAAAAAAGUGAAUGAUGCAAAAUAUGAAUCAGAUCUAGAUAUUGAAUUUGCAUCACUAAUACAUGUAAGAAAUGAUUUAUUCAAACAAAAAAUCUAGCUUAAAUCUUCAAGCACAAUCCAAUCCAAUCAAAUGAGGUAAAACUCAGAUUUCACACCUUGAUGGUGCAAAAUACUUAGCAAUUUGAAGUCUAAUGGAAACUAAUACCAGCAAAUUUUCAUAAAAAAGCAUAUUUCUGACUGUUUCUCGAUACAGUACCUAGAAGCAGAUUCUGGAAGCGCAUAUAGAACAUAAGCAAUCCCCUUGGACCGUUUCGUAUCUUUAUCCACAACAAUAUGGACUUGCAAGACAUUUCCAAAUUUUCCAAAGUGCUCUUCAAGUUCCUCUUCUCUAAAGUCAUUAUCAGAAGUCAAAAGAUAAGAAUGUCACAAAUUGGAAAGACCGUGGUUACUGCCAUUCUGGCAACUUACGUUAUUAUGGUAUGAUUUUAAGAAGAAGAAUGUUCAGUACUUACGUGGUAGUAUAUGGCAAAUUACGGACAAAUAGACGGCCACUCUCCAGAACUUCUUUUGGAUCUUCCACAGUUGAUGAUGGUCCUUCAGUCUCAAUCAGUUCGUCAACAGGUUCUUCACCAUCUCCAUCUUUGUCAUUUUCUUGUUGGACAUCUUCUUCAUCUUCAUCUUCAAUAUCCAUUUCAUCUUUGGUUUGCCUCCGAGAAUCACUGUUACCAUUUUCGAUAUCUCCUUCCUCAUAACUAUCCUCAUUUUCUCCAUCUUCACCUUCUGAAUCUGACCACUCUUUCUUUACUCGACUUCUGAAAUAAUCCAUAUCAGAUAUAACAUCAUCGUGAACUGGAUUUUGUGAUUUAUCUGCAUCUAGAGUCUCAGAUGACCUAUUUUCCUCGUCAUCACUUUCAUUUAACUUUGAUUUCUGGUCACCUUUUCUCACUUCACCCCUAGUUGGCUCAUUUCUAGACUAAAUUCACCUAUAAAUAGCCAUGAGUUGCAAGAAUCAAGAGAGCUUAGAGAAGGGGUGAAGAAACACCACAAAAUGUAGUUCUUAGAUAGUUUUUAGCUCUUUAGUUUAGGCAAUAUAGUUUUAAUUAGUUCAUCAUUUCUUGUGUAUUAACUAAAUGAAAAAGAAGUUGGAGAAUGAAAAAGGCAAGGAGAGAGCUCGUAUGACAAGGGUUACUUUACCUUCCUAACUCUUUAUCUUUUGAAAUUGAUUAUAAGUUUAGUUAAUAUGCAAAUUUUGGAUUUUAUAUUUAUUAUGUGUUUCUAAAGUUUAUACCUUAGGUUUGGUUUAACUUUUUAUGAUUGUAUUGUGUUAAUUUCUUAGCUAUUUGAUACUUUUAUUUUGAACAAGUUAUUUAGCACUUUUGCUCCUCAAAUCAUGAUUAGUUUGGUACCAUUAAUUGUGAUUAUCUAAAGGUGUUGUUUGUUCAAUGAAAAUUGAGAUUUAAUACUAGUUCAAGAAGUGCUAAACCUAAACAGUACAAUCACGAGAGUAGAGGUACAUUUUUGUGGUUUUAGUGAUUCAUUUUAUAUAAUUUCAUAGAGGUAAUUAAUUUGUAACUAAUUUCAUAACCAUGAGAGUAGGCAUGGAUUAGUUAUAAGUAUAGUUGAUUCACUACGAGAGUAGGUUUCACAUGCAUGAGAAAAUUACGCCAUAAUUAGCUAAGAUAGUAGUACUCAAUGAUCCAAAAAUAGCACUUGCAUGAGUAGUUAGGAAUACCAUAAUCCAAGAAACUUUUAUUUACUAUUUUCUUGCAUAAGUUUAGCAUAUUUUUAUUUUCUUUAAUUUGUUAGUCGUCUAAAUAAUAGAGAAAUUUUAGUAGUGACGGUAAUUGACAAUCUUCCUUGUAGGUGUACUUGUGAAAAAUCGCGUAUGAAAUAUUUAGGACGUUAUAAAUAUAAAACUUGACCGUAAAAUGAGCUAAUUGUUAUAUGUAUACCUCGCACUUAUCAACUACAAUUUUAAGAUAUAAGUUUAUGUAGUAUGUACAGCCCUAUUUUGAUUACUUCAAAAUACGACCAUUCUUCUUAAGGAUGCCUAAAAAAUUAUGAAUACUAAUCCUCUUACCCAUUUUUUUAUAUGAAAUUAUUAGACAACAUCCCUCAAAAAAUUGAACCCUUUUUUUUUGGGAAGGUUUAUUUCAAGAAUAAUUAACUCGAUUUGAUAAUUGAUGGUCAACUUCAAUUUUCAGGUUUUGCAAUUGGCUAUUCAGUUUUCAAAUUGAGCAAUAUAAAGGGUGUAAAACUAAGAGAACUUCUGUUAAAAUUCAGAACAUCACACAUUAGAGUGAUCAAUAUGUCUGCAUGAAUCUCUUUUUUUUUUUUUUUUUUGCCAAUGUAGUUCUUUACUGGGACAAGAAUACUUGUAGCUUUCACUUAUUUUCAGGAUUUUUUUUUUUCAAUAAGAAAAGAUGUACGUUUAUUGAGGAAAAAUUAUUACAAUGCCGAAAAAAACUAAACCAUAAAAAAUGCAUUCAUGAUAUAAAAAUUAGGCGCUUUUGCAUAAUACAAGCAUAAUUACAUCAAAAGAUAUUUAAAACACGUAUGAAAAAAAGUAGUAUCUGAUUCCAAUUAUAUCAAGUCAUUUUUUCUUUUUCUCUCUUUGCUGCUGCAAAUUGGCUUUUAUCCUCCUAAUCGUAUUCAAAAGAAUUUUGUCAUAUACUGCAUCCAAAGCUCUUCGCCAGAACUGACAGCUGCAAGAAAUGCCAGUAGUGUAACAAUGGCUUGUCUUCUGUUUUCAAUUAGUCAAAAAGGGUUUCAGUUCUUUCAUCUGUGAAAACUAAUAUAUUGCCUCAAUGGUUUCCUCCAGCUUCUUCUUGACAACUGGCCGCCCAACUCUUGUUGUAUUAGGUCCCUUAAGAAACUCCAUCGCUUGCUCUAAGGUAACAUCUUCAGACUUAAUGUUCUGUCCACAAUAUUCAGAGGAUUAAGCAUUAUAGCAGACUGCAUUGUGUAUUUGGAAAAAACCAAGAAAAGAGGUCAAAGUUAUACUACAGUUACAGUUCAAAAUAAGGAAACACACCAGACAAGAAGGGUAAGCUACUUUUCGAUUCAUUUUUCGAGCCCAUGUCUACUUCAUGAUUUACUACUUCACCAUUUCCCAAUUUCUUAUGUGUACUCUUUGUGUUCUAGAUGCGACAUCCAUGGUACCGUUAAAAAGAAAAGAAAAGGAUAUACUACAAUGUGACAUAAAUUUGUGCAUGCAUCAGAAUAUCUGUUGAAGGGCAACAUCUUCAACCAACAAGGCAAUAAUGUUUUUAAACUGUUUCUGUUGUCAAAAUGAGUUAAAAGUUUCCAGUACUGGGCUCUGCACACCAGAAGCAGUAAAUUAUCCCUAGCUUGAACAUCCUAUGACAGCCAUUAUAACCAUUGUAAAAAUUAAACGCAAUACUCUAAAUCGCAUAUAGACAUAAAUGGUACAGCUGCAGGCCGGUGAGAGACUUAACUAGAAAACAUACCUUGGGAACAGGAGCGAAUGUCCUCCCAUGUCUAAUGACAAAACUUUUCUUCUUUCCAGGAAAUAAAGUCACAGGCCGGCCGUCAUCUGGAUGUUUCCCCUAAUAUAUCAGACAAGCAACUUAGAUGAGUUGACCAGCAAAUACUUAAGCACCAUUUUGAGUUUUCCUUUUUUUGUGUGUUGGGCCUGGGGGUGAUUUUUUUUGGGGGGGGGGGGGGGGGUUGGGGAGUGGCUGGACAAAGAACAACAGUACAAUCUGCUAACAGACACACCAAGGUCACUGGAUAGCGCAGCAACUCAAGAGCGACUUCCAAGGUAACGCAAUCCAAAUCUUUUACCUGGAAAGGAAAAGGAAAUCCAGUAAACCUUCCCAUUCAUGAUUUGAUGUGUAAAAGUCAGAAUUUUGAAAAAUAAGAACUGAAUUUCUGAUCCCUGUAGAAGGAAAGGACGAUAGAUACUCACGAUCCGUAACUUUUAAAUUAAGUGUUCAAAUCAAAAUAAACCAGUUUAAAUGUUCCAAGAAAGAAAGCAACUAAAAAUGCUUUUCAACAUGGGACAACCUCAAUCAACAAGAAGACUUUAAGCCAAUUGUUGACAUCAAGUCACAGGUUUAACGUAGUAGAUGUCACAGAUGAAUAAAUGACAAAAUAGUCCAAGAUAUGGUAAAGUGACAUAGUUGCGCAACAACAAAAAGGAAUAAGGAAGCAUAACACUGCAGUGUUAAAAUAGGCUCCAUGACAGUAAAACAAUGUAAUAUGCGACUCCCAUCCAUGAACCAAACACAUGCAACCCAUGUUCUUAAAUGGCAUUGACCCCUAAAAGGAAGUAUCCAAAUGACCAUAUUGCUUACCAAAACCAUAACUGUCCAUAUUAACAAUUAUCAAACAUGAUGUGAUAUUACUUGAGCCAGAUCUAAAGUCAUAUUCCAAUUUUCUGGUAAGUCAUAAGUUAAAUUGACUAGACCAAGAGGCACAAUCUGUGCACCGAAAAUGUGCACAAAAUAAAAGUUCUAGGGGCCUCAAUAAGUCAACCAUUAGAAGACGAGACAUCCACCCCCAAGCUUUCAACAAAAUUUUGUAGUGAACUCACAAUGAAAAGUUUGACUUUACCAGCUAAAUGACCAAAAAUUCUGUUAACACAUUUAUUUUCCUUUAUGUUCAAAAUGGAACUAUUACACUUGCACCAAAUUUUUCUUGCCAAAGAGUUAAAUAAACUACAAGGAAGAUGUAUCAGAAUACUGGAGUUCAUCGAUGCAAUUAUUCAAAGAUACCAAAAGUUGGCAGAAUUAAGAGAAAAAAGAAUUACAAGAUUCUGUAUAAACAAAAGUUAUACAUCACUCUUUCAGGCACAGAAGCAGUAUUAAAAAGGUAUUGGAGAACAAAACCAUGUUCACAUAACAGUUGAAAAUGCUGGCGAACCAAAAAUAGUUAAAUACUGGACAGUGCUGCAGACUCUAGCGUGCAACGUAAACAAGUUGGACAAAUUAAUAUAAUUCCACAAGAAACUUCAUGGUAUAUGGUGGUAAUAUUUCCCUUAGAAUUAAAUUUCUCUGUAAAUAGAUGUUAAAUCCUAAAUAACAAGAAUGCAGAUUCUACUCUUAAAAAAUCAAUUCUUCAGUGUAGAAGAUUUUUUUUUUUGGGAUUUUUUUUUGGGGGGGGGGGGGGGGGUCGCUUCGUGGUUGGGGAGCUCUUUAUGUAAGCCACUAACUGUUUUACUUACUUUGUUCAGGGAAGCUCGUUUAGGCAAGAAACCUUCCCUGUCUUCACCAAGCUGAACAUAGUUUCCAUACGGACCACUCUUCAGAAGAACCUAAACACAACCAUUAAUGUAUGUAUGUAAACAAAAAUAAUCUACACAACAUAUAUAUCAUUUGGUAACCCAGUAAGUAGAAAAUUUUAGCCAAACCUUCUCAUUGGUACCAGGAUUUAGGCCCAGCAACUUUGGCUCCUCCAUAUUUUUUUUGUUAUUGUUGUCACUAGGGAUCUCUUCAUUGUCUUCGCGACAUAAUGUCUUGGCAAUAUACCUGCAGAACAGCUCAUAAUUUCAGAUGUAAGCUCAAUCACAAACCAAUGGCUAUCAACAAGCAGGGACCAUUAACAGAAGUCUAAUAAAUAUAAUUUGAUGACAUUUGCAGCCAGACAGUUACCAGAGAAUGACAAAGAACAGUCUAGUUACCUGCCCAGAAUAACAGUCUAGUUACCUGCCCAGAAUUGACUGGGAAAACAAAAAUCAUAAAUUAGCAAACAUAAAGAAAGAAAAAAGUGUAAGAACUCCACUUAGUUGGAUUAGCCUCAUGUUGAAUAUUGUUUUCAUCUUUCGAUUUCAUUCAGCCCUAAGAAAGUUAAAAGAAUGUAUGAUGCAGGAAAAAAGUUGUACAUCUACACAAUGAUUGAAUAAGGAAAAGAAUCUAUCAGACAUAUAGAUGAAGUAACAGCCUGAUCUGUUCCUGUUUCUUUCCCCUUCCAACACUCCUCAAUCAAGAUAAUUUAUCAGGUCUAGUACUGAGACUCCAAAGAGAUAAAAAAUGCCAUAUCCCACCAACACCUAUCCAUCUUAAAGUUACAACUAGUAAGUAUCCUCCCUCAGUUCUUCAAACAGAAAAUGAAUACUGAUAUAGUUUUCGCUUGUUUUCCUCAAGUUCAGCUGUUAACAUAGUAAGGGACCAAAUCUAUUUACUCUAGAUUACUUUCCAAUGAAAAGAAUCUUUUCUGGUUGUGAACAGACUAUGAAAGAAUACAACUGUAAGUUUCCAAAUUCAUUAACGUUCAAUUUCAGGCAAUCCUUCACCAGCACUUCAAAAGUAAGCAGACAAAAUUCUGAAUUAAAAUUGAGAGAUCAUUUUCAUUCGUUUAGAGAUCUUCCAAAAAGGAGAUUGAAAGAACUGCUGCAGUAUAUCACUCUCUAGAUAUCUUCUGGACUCUUAAGAGUGAUAAAGCAAUAAUUGAUUUGAUGGUGGACUGAAGCCCAAGAUCGUUCAAUUAUCUAUCAGUAAAAGUGAUGGUAAGGAUUUUCUAGUAAUGCUACUUCACAAAAGUAGGAGCGGAUGUUUUGAACUGUUUAAUAACAAAGAUUACUACAGGAUAGUGAGAUCAAAAUGACUAGCUUAGAUGUGAGGCGCACAGCCAGCAAGAGAGAAAAAAGAUGAGGAAGAAACAUUCAUCAAGUCUACAAGAAGAUAAAACAAAACAAAAUCUACAGGAAAUAUAAAAAAUAUAUUAAAAUAUAAAGGAACAUAUUUGAGAGGCAAGCUUUGCUUCAUUUUUUUUUAAAUAAAGAAAUGUAUCAUAAUUACUUCCAAAGCAGGACAAGAUUCAAAGGUUAAGUCAACUGCAUCAUCCAAGCCACUGUGUCUAGUGUUACCCGGAAUUAGUUUGCUUCAUCAUCAUCAAGACAUAGAUUCCUCAUUCAAAGCCUUAUCUCUAUAGCAAAUAUCCCACCAAAACUUAAUCUAGAACUAGCUUUUAUAAAAUGGGCCAUGAACUUUGAAGAAGAUUACAAGGAACUGCAUUUUACUUCUCUCCACAGUUGCCCCGGUCAAUGCCUUUUUUCCCUAUCGUAUGCCACUCAACAAAGCAUCUUAUUUUACUUCCAUAACCAUUUCAACUUCAAUGCAUGAUAUGCAAGUCUUGGCAUCUUCGAUUCCGCUCCAAAAAUUUCAGAUCAUUGACUGAUACCAUUUCUUGAUUAUACAUGACUUUUUGUCAGCACUGAGAUUUUAAAUUCUUAAGGCAGAUUUUCAAGGAGGACUAAAGCUCAUAAAACUUCACCACACCUUCCUUUGAGUCACAGGGCUCAAACAUGUCGCAUCUUUUCUGAAAUAAUAUUGAAUCUUUUGUGCACAUGAGAGCCCAAGCUCAUUCACGGCACUAAUGGUGUCUCAAGAUGGAACUCUAAACACAUUGAUGUUCUUGCAUAUAUAGCAAAGAUCCUAGAGAAAAACUAGGUUUUCAAAGCAGUAGACAAUUCAUCCUUAAAAUUAGGCUAGAACCUAAACGGCCACUAAACUAGUCUCAUUGAUUAACCUUGCACAAUAAACUUGUAGUUGCAUUCAUACAUAACUCACAAUUACCAUUAAGAUAGACAGAAUCACGAACGAGUAUGAUAUUAGAUAUUGUUUUUAAGGAUAUCUAUGUCAUCAAAACAUGUAAAAGUAAAGCAAAAGACAUAUCAAUGUAAAAUUGCGCCUUAUCACCAGCCAGACUGUCCCAGAACCCCAACCACCUGAGGGUGAGCCCCUUUUCCACUCAUUACAGCCUAAAUACCUCUCUGCAACUACUCACAAAAAGAGAAAGAAAACAAGAGAAAUUUAAGCUCUCCUCUUCCAGGACUGAAGAGCCCCCCACCAACCAAGCCAUAUGCUGUGCUGAUAUAUUCGAUACUCUUUCCAUUCAGCUUUAUCUCUUUUAGAACUGGACCAAGUUAAAAAAUUGUGCCAAGAAACCAUCUGGUCUUGUUCUUAACUUUUGGUCACAGAAUACUAUAUAAGCAUUAUCCCCUCAAGCUCUGACAGAAAUACUUCCUUUUUUGUCAAAUUUAUCUUUGUGUGUGUAUGUAGAGAGAGAGAGAGAGAGUCUAAUAGAAGAAAUCUCACUCUUCUUCUCCUAUAAACUUUAUGAUUUUGCUUAAAAUUGUUAAAAAGCAUUCACAAAAUGAUGUGCAGGCUCAUUUCGUUGGACAGUGGUUCUCUUUCAAAUUGGUUUCCAAAAGUCCCAUCUACAGCAACACCAUACCGGUGUCGACAAGUUCAAUCUAUGAUGUCUAAAAAUUAAAAGAUAUGGAGAAUUGAAAGAGAAGAUUGAAUUUUAUUUGGUCAAACAUAUGAUCAAGUGCUAUGUCAAUACAGGGACUUCAACCAGCAGAUUGACCAGCACAGUGGCAAAUUUCCAUUCUUCUGGUGAUCAAGUAUCCAGUAUAUAAAAUGAUGUUAAAUCCAGUCUUAGAAGCAUACAACCUAUCAAAAGUCAUUUAUAUAAGAUUAAUAGGUUUUUACUGCAUUGCGUACCCCAGGGAUGGUAUUUAAAGAAAAAGAAGAAAAGAAAGUUGGAUCACUUAUUCAUUUCUUGACCUGAUUACUACUUAAUCAAAACUCUCAUUCUUUCAGAGCAUCCGAUGCUCACAUACUUGCACAGACUGUACCAAAUAACCAUGGACAUAACACAUUGACGUGUAACGAACACUUUUAUCACAUAGGAAAUUGUAGUCAAACAGUGGAGACAGCACAAGACAGUGAAAGUACAGACUGAAAAAGCAUCCACAAAGAAUGUAGCUAGCAUUAGAAAAUAAAUAUGAUAAGCAGCAUACUCACUUGCAUCUUGGAUGCUGAUCACAACCUAUAAAGUAGCCUGCCCCAAAUCUGCUGACCUUGAAGAUUAGAUUUCCCUCCAAACAACUAGGGCAUCUCCUACUUCCAUCUGGGAGAGAAGCAAACAAAAAAUCUGAAAAUUCCUUCUCCAGCAUCUUCUCCACCUGAUGAAUAUGGACAUUAAUAGCAUGUGUACAAUACUUGCUAAACCUUGUCCAAUAAUCUUUUAGAAGGCCUUUCCAUUCAGUCAAUCCAGCUGAAACAUUAUCAAGUUCAGUCUCCAUGUCAGCAGUGAAACUGUAAUCUGUGACCUCAGAAAAAUAAUGGGAAAGAAAAGCAGACACCAUCCGCCCUCGAAAUUCUGGAUGCAUAACCCUGCUUUUUACUGUUACGUAAUUUCUAUCUUUCAACACCUUAAUCGUUAUUGCAUAAGUAGAAGGUCUUCCAAUGCCAAGCUCUUCCAUCUUUUUUAUCAAUGCCCCCUCAGAGUAGCGUGGUGGUGGUUGUGUAUAGUGUUGCUCAAGUUCUGCCUUACCCAAAUUCAAAGAAUCCCCAGAUUUCAAAGUACUCAGAACCUUGAAAAGCUCACCACGAUUAUUUACUUCAUUCUCAUUCAAACUUACUGUAUUGGAUUCCACAUCCUCAAACACAGUUUGGUAGCCUAGAAAUUCAACUCUUGAGCACGAAGAUCUAAGCAUAAUGGAUCGAUCAGUAUUCGCAACAUCAAGUUGUACCUGAUCAAUAAUAGCAGGUUCCAUUUGGCUGGCAAUGGUUCUAGACCAAAUAAGUUUGUAUAACUUCACAGAAUCAUCAUCCAGGACCCCAGCAAGCACUGAAGGUAGCCUCCUGAUAUUAGUUGGUCUAAUAGCUUCAUGGGCCUCUUGAGCAUUCUUCACCUUCUUAAAAUAUUUGCGAGCACUUUUUGAUGCAAAAUUUUGUCCAUACCUUUCUGUUACAAACGACUGAAGGUCUUUUACAGCAUCAUCAGAAAUGUGUGAUCCAUCUGUCCUCGUGUAAGUGAUCAAUCCUACUGCUUCACCAUCAGCUAACUGCACCCCCUCAUACAGCUUUUGUGCAAGUUUCAUAGUAUAUGAAGCAGAAAAAUUUAAUUUGUUUGCUGCUUCUUGCUGAAGUGUGGAAGUUAUGUACGGGCUGGGAGCAUUUCUUUGACUUUUGCUUUCCUUACAGGCAAUAACUUCAAACUUGGAUGAGUUAAUCUUCUGUUCAAUAUCCCUUGCCUCAGUGUAAGAACCAAUAGAUACCUUGCUUAACUUUUUGCCACUAAAGUGGGUUAAAUUUGAGGAGAAGCUGAGAGUAUCUGUUGAACUUGUGUCCUUCUUGUUGAACUCAACCUCAAUUGUCCAGUACUCCUGUGGCUUAAAUUUGUCAAUUUCUGUUUCCCUGUCACAUAUAAGAGACAAGGCAGCUGACUGAACCCGACCAGCUGACUGGCAACUAGGCAAUUUCCUCCAAAGCAAUGGUGAAAUGUUGAACCCAAUCAAGUAGUCCAAUGCACGACGUGCAAGAUAAGCAUGUACCAAACUUACAUCAAUCUCUCUUGGAGCUUGAAGGGCAUUUUUGAUGGACGACUCUGUUAUUUCAUUAAAAACAACCCUUGCCACAGUGAUAUCAUUGCGUAAGGUAUCUUGUUGCUGCAACAUCUCAAUUAUGUGCCAAGCUAUAGCCUCUCCUUCACGAUCAGGAUCCGAUGCAAGAAUAAGAUUUUUGGCUCUGAAAGGGAAAAAAUGCACAUAUGAGAAUGCAAGUAAAGAUGGUGAACAAGCCAAACCUAAAUGGUAAUUUCUUGUGACCAAACUGAAACAUAUUAUCAAAUCUUGUCAUAGCAAGUAUAGAAUUCAACUGCCAGUCAAAAACAAGUAUUCAAAAGAAAGACAUCAUACCCACUUAGUGCAACCUUGAUACUCUUAAGAUGAGUCCAGGCCGGCGAUGGAACCUCCCAUACCAUACUGAAGUUAUCAUCUGGUCUAACAGAUCCUGACCUUGCAGCCAAGUCCCUAACAUGACCGUAACUUGGUAGGACUUCAAACAUGUCACCCAGGUACCCUUGAAUAACCUUUGCCUUCGUGACAGACUCCACCACCACAACUGAUUUAGCAACAGGUGGAUAUAAUUGAGGAAAUUUGCCCCGCAAACUACUUUUGCCACUCAUCUGUGAUUUGUGGCUCUGUGAUACCUCGCUGCUACAAGAAUCAGCGGGUGAUUCAUCAGAUUUUGAAAGGGCAGCAACCCCUUUAUCAGUCUUUUUCUUCCUAGAUGACUUAAUAGGCUUAGGUUUGGAAUCCUUGGUCAAGACAUCAUUUUCAAGUAUUUCUGUAGAAGUACUUUGAGUUGUAUUAAUCUGCAAAACUGCAUGGUCAGAACAAUUUGCAGUUAAGAAGAACCGUUAUUGGCUAAAUAACAAAGAUUACUUACCUGAGAAGCUACAGGAGAUUGGUUUUUUUUCUUAGGUUUAGGCUUCUUGGCUUGAGAAACUUUUUCAGGGUCUUUAAGAUGGUUUGCCUCGUCACAAGCAGCAGUAUUAUCAGAACCAUGAUUUUUGCUUUUCUUGCUCCUUGCCUGCUUCACUUUGCUAACACCAUUGGAAUUACGACUUCCACUGGUAUCAGAAGAAUGUGAAGUGUCCAACUCCACAUCCUUCAUCUUGUCCAUGGGAAUGCCAUCUUUUGAACUGACCGUAUCAGGGGCUUUAGUAUCAGAUGCUUUAUAACUAGAAUUGCCUCUUCCAGGUCCAAUAUUGGAGAUCGCAUUCCUCCUAUGAGCAGAAAAUGCCUUUUUCCUUUUCCAGUACUUGUUGUAUACUUUUAAGGUUGAAUUGCUACCACUUCCACCACCUUGCAUACCCACUGCAUCAUUUUUAUGUGUUAAGGCUCCAGAGACCUCGGAAAAAGACCUCUUGCCAGUGACAAAUGCAUAGCACUGACUUUCAAAACCAACUAUUGACCUAUAACUUAUUACAUUCAUCUGUAUUGCACCACUUAAUGAUGCUACUCUCAUAUUGGGCUGUUGAAUUGAGGCAGAGAACGGCGAAAGCCCAUAAGAAUGGCUUUUGAGAGCACAGGAUUUUCGCUCAGACUUAAUCCUUAGAACUUUGGGUUGAUAUCUUGUGAAUGCAGAGCACACCCUAAGUUUUUGGGGUAACUGGGCAAAUUGAUCAGCACCUUUGAAUGGUGAACCUAGGAAGCAUGUCCCUGAGAUAUUAUGCAAAGUCCUAUUCUGCAACUUUUAGCACAAAAACACAAUUAUGAUUUUGCAGUAACUGAAGAUACAAAGGAGGAUAAGGAAGCUCACAUUGGAAUUAAUCUAAAAUAACUUCUUUCUAUGAUCAAAUUACUCAAAGCUUAUUAAUUUAAGGUCAAACUUUGAGACUGAACAAUACUCAUACAGGAAAGAAAAAAAAAGUCAAAGAAAUAUUAGUCCAGGAAAUGGAUUAGAUUAUUAGUAAAAUUAUGAAGAACAUAGCCCAGGCCCAGUAUCAACACAUUUGCACUAAUUUCAAAAAAAAAAAAUCAAACAUAACAUCGCAACCAUUUCAAGGAUAACAUAUUACUGAUAUUAGUCAUUCGUGCUAGAUAAGGUUUAUGAGAGUGCUGGAACAAGAAAAUCUACAAAGUUUUCACGUGUUCUAUCAGCUAUAUAUAAGCAAAUCCAAAUUACACAGUAAUGCAACUCAAUGGCACCAAAGAUGACAGGCAGUAAUGCUUAACAUCUAGCACUUAACUCGUUCAACUACUGAAAACCUCAUUCCUGCAUUCUUUUUGCAGCAACAAAAAUCAGUUUUCCUUCCAAAAACUUUCUUCCUUUCCAUCAUGUUCCUCAAUUUCCCUAUUAACCCUCAAGGUUCUCCAGUUAUCUUUGGUCAUCGAUUCAAUUCAUUUCUUGUGAAAUAAGAGAAAAAUAAGGGAAAAAAAGAAGAAGCAAAACUCCUCUUUCUGAUAAAUUAUAUGCAUCAAAGUUAAGAACUUUCAUAUGCACAACUUGAAAAUGAGAGACACAAGCCCAAGUGAUGGCAUAUGUUUGCAAAUUCAGUCCUCCAAUUGUUUGACAACGAGUUCUGAGAAAACAAAUAAAAUUUAUUUCUCGUUUGAUCAUUCCCUUCUCGCCGCAUCCCUAAGUUCUGCAUUCCAGACAAAGCCCACCUAGUUUAACACAUAUAGAAAAGUAGCACCAUGAAGAACUACAAACCAUAACAGCAUUUCGGUUAUUCAACCCAUUAAACAAACCAAUUGGAUAAGUCCCAAAAGAAAAAGAUGAAAAAUAAAAAUCCUUCCUACCAGCACUUUCAACAAUUUAGAAUUGAACCCAUUAACAUUCUACCAGCAAAGUUGGAAAAGAAAUAAUAAAGGGCUUCAAACGAAAACAAAAAUGGGGUUGGCUUUUGGUACCAUAAUGGAGCGGCAGCUAGAAGUAGCAGUUGAAAAGAGUAGUUGAACCAGAGCCAUAAAAGAAGGCGAUUUAUUAUUGGUCGUUAAUACAAGGCAAUGCCCAAGAACAGCCAAUUAUAUUCUUGAAUUCUUUAUUUAGAUGAAAUUGAUAAUGCUACAUCUGUUUUGUGGGAGUGUGACCGCCGGCGGGGGUGGCGGUGUGUGACUGUGUGUGAAUGUUGUUCAGUUGGGAAGAGAGAUGGAUAGAAGAGAAGAAAGGGUUUUAGGCCUUUGUGUCCCCCCUUUGAGGGAAGUGCUGGAAGGGUUUUAGAUUUCAGAAAAGGUUGAGGGGCCACGGCGUCGUUUUUUUUUUCUUUUUUUCUUUUUAUUAAGUCAAAUGAAAUUAUAAGAAUAUAAUAAAAUUAGGAAAAUAUUAUUUGCACUUCAUGUUUUAUUAUUCACACUCCCGUCAUUUGUUUUAUCAUAUUAUUCUAAUAAAUGAAAAUUAUAUAAUAAAAUGAUAGUGAGAGUAUGGGUAAUAAAAAUAUGAGUGUAAAUAACAUUUCUCUAAAAUUAUCUUAAAGAAUAUAUAAAAUUUUAUGAAGGUGUAGUAUAAUUAUUUUUAGUAAGAUAAAUUACUUCGAAAUUAAAACUUAACUUCAUAACUUCUUUUCCUUAAAUUAAUUGAGCGCAUAAUUUUGAAUAUUUGUCUUUUUACUAUUUAUAUAUUUUUUGCUCAAUAAACUUUGAAUUUACAAUAAAAUCUUUAAUCCAUGAUAAUAGAUAUGUCAUUAUAAUUUGAAAAUUAAAAUUUUUAAAAUUAUAUUUUUAUUAUCAUCUUCAAAAAAAACGAUAUUCCGUUUUAGACUUUUUUUUUCUUCUUGAAAUUUAACAUGCUAAGACAGUAAUCCAAAAUUCUUGACUUGAGAUAUGAGGACUAAAAUGACAGUUUGUGCCUUUUUUCUUCAACUAUGGGUAACAAUUUUAGAAAAUAUUGUUUUAAUAUCAGAAUAUGGUAGCUAUAGCAAUUUCUUUUUUUUUUUUUUUAAAUAUAGGAGUUAUUUUUAUUUAGAAAAUUACCCUGAACAAGCACAAGAAAUAGAAUAGAAGUAGAACAAACGACGAACAGCAGAAGGAAAAAUACGUAAACCACCCUUGCCCUCCUUUGGCCUGCCCUCAGUCUCCGGCCGCCACCACCAUCAUCCUCUCUUGCUGCUGUCUCUCCGAUCGUCACGGUUUUACCAUAUCCCAUCCCUCUAUUUUCACUAGAAGAAGGAAAUCAUAGGAUAAAAAUGGAAGCUUUUCUGCAGAUUAUCUGAGGAAGCAGUUGAAGCAUUUGAUUCUUUACUUGGUUUUUAGUUAGUGGACUGAAGCUCCUAUCCAAGAAAACCCAAACCAUAGAAAAGGUAAAAUUUUUCAACUGCCCAUUAACGGUUUUUAGCUCUGGAUUACUCACUGUUCAGUUCAAGGUCAAAACAUUUCAGUUCUUGUUUGGUUUAUUAGAUUUUUUACCGUUUGUUUUUUCCUCAAAUAUGCAUUUCCCUGAAUUUAGCUUUCCACUUUAGUGUAUUCUUAUAUAGCGUGUAUACUUAGGUUGAGUUAAUGAUGAUUUCCCCAUCCGAGUUUAUAUAUGUCAUGAAUGUUUCAUUUGUGGGCUGCUCCCCUGGAGAAUGCUUCCAAUAAUGGGGAAAUUUCUAAAUGUUCAAUCUGCGUUUGCUGAAAGGUAGGACGGAAGGAUAUAUAAGGGAGUAAGAUUGGCACAUAGCUGAAUUAGCCACUUAAGAUGGACUCCUAGUAAUAACCAUUUACUUUAAAUUUCAGCUUGUAUUAGCUACAAGGAAAUGAGCUUCGGGAGCUUGAAGAGCGUACUGGCUGAAGCAGCCAUCAAAGGUGUGACUGAGGCAAGAGCUAGAAUAUUUGGGCAUAUACUUAACCCAACCGGGCAGAGAUCGGCUCACAAGAUUUUGCGCAAGAAGCUAAUUGGUGAGAAGGUUUCGCAAUGGUACCCUCACGACAUCAGGCACGACGACCCUCUUGUCAUGGCCCGACAGGAGCAAGAGUAAGCUCUCUUUGUCUGACCCUCUUGUCUUGUUGUCAAAGAGUUUUUCUAUGGCCAUGUUAUGCUUACAGAUGUGUGUUUGCUUAUUGACUGUUUGAUUGUAUGCUUGAUUCUUACGUUCUUCCUUGUGUUUGUGUCUUUCCUGGUUUUUUUUCCUGUUCAAAAAGUUUGGUUUGCACAAUGGGAAUGAAAUUUUUUGAGAAUUUUUGUCUUUUUUUUUUCUAUGCGAACAAAUUUUGCAUGACAAGAGAGCAAAUUUUGAAAUUGUAUGCGUGACAUGAGAAAGAUUUGAUUGUUGCAUGGUCCCAAAUCUGGGAUAUGUUAUGGUGGUUCUUGCCAGCAAGAAGUAAAAAUGGUUCAUAUCCUGCUAGGGGAAGGUUGUGAGAUGAGAUGAAUAUAUUCCAGAUAAUUGCUUUAACUUCAUAUAUUUGUAUGCUUCCUUGUCCUGCUGAAAUCUCAAUUUUCCCUUCUUAAUGAGGGAAGACUCUGAAUUUGAAUGGUUUCUAAAUUUACCUUUACUGUGUUGAUAUAAUGAGAAAGGUUUAAUAUCUGUCUUGCUGAUCAAACAAAUUUGUCUUCUGUUCUAUACCUUUCCUUCAAGAAUGCUGCUAAGAGUUGUAUCUAGAUUUGCUGGAGUUUUUUAAGGUUUGAGAAGUGUCUGUAAGUCAUGAUAUCGCUGAAAAAUGAAAUGAAAAUGACUCGUAAAUCUGAAUAAUGAGGUUAUGUUGAAACAUUGUCCCACGAUAAUGUGGAGAGGUUCUCUAUGGAAAGAUAAGAUAACAAUCGAGCAUGUUGAUGAGGCAAAGAUGUACUUUUGAAAUUGUUUGUGCAUAUUACGUGAGCACUACUAUGAUAGAAUUUCAUACAAUUGAUUCUGUUGAUAUGUUUUUGUAGUCCUCUCAUAUUCGAACAAUUGUUUUGAGGAGGCAUCUCUCAACAUACAGCAAAGCAGGUUUUCAUAAACAUGCUCAAUGAAUACAGUGAAAACUUCCAAACUUUUAAUGAUGGUAUAGAUGAAUUCCUGUUUUUGAUAAACGAUUCAGGUGGUUUUUUGGAGUAAGCUAAGAAAUACAAACUUAGGACAAGAAUGAGUUAACAAAGUUUGAAUGAGGAGAUGUACUUUUCUUUUCUUUUUUGUGUAAACCAGUGUCCAGUGACCGCAUUGGGCCCUGACUAAUCUGGAGUCGAGCAAUAAUGAAUGACUGUAAUGAAUGAUUGAACUCGGCUACAUUUUGGCUCCGUACGGAUUGGAACUUUUUUUCAAAAGCCGUUUUUGUUUGUGGAGUCUACAGUACCAAGUCCUUGUUACUUCUGCUUCUAACAUUGAAUGAUUAUAAUAAAUGAUUGGGCAAUAAUGAUGUUUUAGCAUACGAGUUAUUCUGUGUGAAAGUAAUGUGAUGUUUCUUGUGCCUUUUACCUUAAAUAGGAUUAUGUGUUGAUCUAGCUAAAUGGCGAAGAUUAUGUGUUUCAUAUACCAUGUGGGAUGUAACCGAAUGUUCUUGCUCCUAGUGCAUGGGAUUCAGUGGAUUGGGUUCAUAGAUCUUCACUGCAUGAUCCAUCACGUGAUCUUAUCUUCUUUAGCUUUUUCCUCAUAUUUACUUUCUUAAGACACAGUUGAAGAAUCUACCUUAUGGCCAACCCCAGAGAAAUAUGAAACCGCCCCAUCUUUUCCAUUUAAAUUUGUCCUGUGCAUCAGCAUCAGUUGUUUACCAUCCCUCUUCCUUGUAAUGCUGACACACACAAUGGAGACAAUUGGGCAUUGAUGUCUUCACCAAACCUAUAUUUACUUACUACAUCUUCUUGCUUCUUUGGACCUUCUUGUUGGAAGCUGUACUUACUACAGAUACUUGCUUCUUUGGAGCUUUGUCUCCUUUCAUUAAUCUUGUUUGGAAUCUUACUUAACCAUUGCCUCCUUUCACUUAUCCUGGAUGUAGUGGUGAAGUAUGCCAUACCUCCUGUUUGAGCUAUGUAGUUAAUGGGUUGAUACUGGUCUAAUGGCAUGGUUAUGUUUGUAUAUUUGGCAGGCGCCUGGAGAAGCUUGAGAUGUUAAAACGUCGUGGAAAAGGACCACCGAAGAAGGGUCAAGGAAAGAAAGCUGCAAAGCGCAACAAAGUCAGCACCCCUGGGAAAUAGUGACUUUGUCUUGGAGUUGAAUGUGUUCCAAGGAAAAUUUAGACUAAUUGCAUUGGAAAAAUGGGUACCUAUUGAUGGUUGUCCAGUCAUAUUCUGAGCUACUAUGUUGAUAUUGCCACAAGUUUUUUUGGGCUGACUUCAAUGACAAUGGGUACGAUCUUCAGGAUAUUGUAGAAUUAUCUUUUUUGGUCUAUAGUUCCAUUCUCUUCAUUUUUCUUUCCUCGUCCUCCUGUAGUAAACUAUGAUGCUCGUAUGGCAGCAUUGCUGGGUCUCUGUUCUGUAGUACAGACUAACUUGUAUCUAAUUUUAACGCUGCUAGGCCUCUGGCCUGGUAGUCACCACCAUGCGGGAGAACCCUUGACCUUCCACCAAAAUUUGCCACAAUAUGUGGCGGUUUUAAUUGGUUUCCUUCAAUCGAGUCUAUAUUCAGAUUGAAUCCCCCUCCCCUUGCCCCGUAGAUUAUGCUAGAUUAGGUUAUAGGAAUUCUAUCGUUGUGAAAAAAAAAAAAAAUUAUCUAAUUUUAAUGCCUUUUUCCUUUAUCUGUUUUGGUUUUGUUUUAAUGGCUGAAAUCGGCCCAAUCUAGCUCGGGCAGAAGCCGACCGUGAUUUGAGUUGAAAUUCAAGUCAAUGGCUGAGAUCAGCUUUAGGUCUGCUGGGCUGAUCUCGGCCGUUAAAAGACCUCUGCAGUUGCACCUACUACCACAGAGUAUCCGCUUACCAGUGCACCUCUCCUCCCCUGAGAAGGUGUAUUGUGAAAUAUCGUGUAGUGACGUUACAUUUUCUCUACACUUAAAUUUUGUGUUGAGAGUCUUAACAACAAAACAUUAAAUGAAAACGAGUUUUCAGAUGGAAUCUAGCCACCCUCACGCAGAUGACUCCCAAGGUAUUUCUGAGAACAUUUUCUUCCUACUCCAUAACCCUCUAUAUGCUCCACAAAAAUGGUUGUCCUUUGAACUAUCAGUUUUGCUAAGUCAUAUUUACCUCCUAUUUUCCAUGCACUCAUGCAACAAAAGUGUGUCAUCUGGCUCUGGACUUGGACCAAUCCUCACUCUCCCCUUUUAGCAGCAACAUCAUCCAUCAUUAGACAGACUUAGUCGAUGAAAUAAGCAUUGUUGUUUAAUUUGUUAGUUAAUCAAGUUUUGCAGUUCUAAUCUGCUUGGUUUGUGGAGAAACUUGGUAUUAAUGUUCCAGUGACAAUUUACUGCCUAAAGACUUUAUGAAAAGUUGGUAUUAAAGAUGAGAAUUUAAUCAACUACUGUAUUAAGAAAGUGAGGAAGUUAAGCAAACUACUCAAUAUAUCCAGGGUUAAGUAGAAUGUGGUCAUAUGAAUCUGACAGGAGGACACAGCUGGAAUACACUAUUAAGAACUUACAAGCUUUUGAUCGUAUAACAUUUCUUCAUAUCUCAUCUCCGCUCUGCUGAUCCUCAAAUUGUCAACAGAGCAAUCAAACACUAAAUAACAAAUGACACAAAAUGUACAUUUGGUUGGUGUUUCUAUCUGUACUUAGCUCAAACGUGUCUGUUUCCAUUAGGGACAAAAUAUCACCAGUAAUCCCCACAAGAGCAAGUACCAUCCUUGAAAUGAUGGAACCUGCGAACAUCUCUCACAAUGAUCUCCCUCUGUACAAUCUUUGAAAUGAAUUUGCAAGCAGCAUGACAAUCAUUGCAAACUCUAAGAUUCUUGGCUACUCGAAUAAGAGUAAGCUCUUUGUCUGACCCUCUUGUCUUGUUGUCAAAGAGUUUUUCUAUGGCCAUGUUAUGCUUACAGAUGUGUGUUUGCUUAUUGACUGUUUGAUUGUAUGCUUGAUUCUUACGUUCUUCCUUGUGUUUGUGUCUUUCCUGGUUUUUUUUCCUGUUCAAAAAGUUUGGUUUGCACAAUGGGAAUGAAAUUUUUUGAGAAUUUUUGUCUUUUUUUUUUUCUAUGCGAACAAAUUUUGCAUGACAAGAGAGCAAAUUUUGAAAUUGUAUGCGUGACAUGAGAAAGAUUUGAUUGUUGCAUGGUCCCAAAUCUGGGAUAUGUUAUGGUGGUUCUUGCCAGCAAGAAGUAAAAAUGGUUCAUAUCCUGCUAGGGGAAGGUUGUGAGAUGAGAUGAAUAUAUUCCAGAUAAUUGCUUUAACUUCAUAUAUUUGUAUGCUUCCUUGUCCUGCUGAAAUCUCAAUUUUCCCUUCUUAAUGAGGGAAGACUCUGAAUUUGAAUGGUUUCUAAAUUUACCUUUACUGUGUUGAUAUAAUGAGAAAGGUUUAAUAUCUGUCUUGCUGAUCAAACAAAUUUGUCUUCUGUUCUAUACCUUUCCUUCAAGAAUGCUGCUAAGAGUUGUAUCUAGAUUUGCUGGAGUUUUUUAAGGUUUGAGAAGUGUCUGUAAGUCAUGAUAUCGCUGAAAAAUGAAAUGAAAAUGACUCGUAAAUCUGAAUAAUGAGGUUAUGUUGAAACAUUGUCCCACGAUAAUGUGGAGAGGUUCUCUAUGGAAAGAUAAGAUAACAAUCGAGCAUGUUGAUGAGGCAAAGAUGUACUUUUGAAAUUGUUUGUGCAUAUUACGUGAGCACUACUAUGAUAGAAUUUCAUACAAUUGAUUCUGUUGAUAUGUUUUUGUAGUCCUCUCAUAUUCGAACAAUUGUUUUGAGGAGGCAUCUCUCAACAUACAGCAAAGCAGGUUUUCAUAAACAUGCUCAAUGAAUACAGUGAAAACUUCCAAACUUUUAAUGAUGGUAUAGAUGAAUUCCUGUUUUUGAUAAACGAUUCAGGUGGUUUUUUGGAGUAAGCUAAGAAAUACAAACUUAGGACAAGAAUGAGUUAACAAAGUUUGAAUGAGGAGAUGUACUUUUCUUUUCUUUUUUGUGUAAACCAGUGUCCAGUGACCGCAUUGGGCCCUGACUAAUCUGGAGUCGAGCAAUAAUGAAUGACUGUAAUGAAUGAUUGAACUCGGCUACAUUUUGGCUCCGUACGGAUUGGAACUUUUUUUCAAAAGCCGUUUUUGUUUGUGGAGUCUACAGUACCAAGUCCUUGUUACUUCUGCUUCUAACAUUGAAUGAUUAUAAUAAAUGAUUGGGCAAUAAUGAUGUUUUAGCAUACGAGUUAUUCUGUGUGAAAGUAAUGUGAUGUUUCUUGUGCCUUUUACCUUAAAUAGGAUUAUGUGUUGAUCUAGCUAAAUGGCGAAGAUUAUGUGUUUCAUAUACCAUGUGGGAUGUAACCGAAUGUUCUUGCUCCUAGUGCAUGGGAUUCAGUGGAUUGGGUUCAUAGAUCUUCACUGCAUGAUCCAUCACGUGAUCUAUCUUCUUUAGCUUUUUCCUCAUAUUUACUUUCUUAAGACACAGUUGAAGAAUCUACCUUAUGGCCAACCCCAGAGAAAUAUGAAACCGCCCCAUCUUUUCCAUUUAAAUUUGUCCUGUGCAUCAGCAUCAGUUGUUUACCAUCCCUCUUCCUUGUAAUGCUGACACACACAAUGGAGACAAUUGGGCAUUGAUGUCUUCACCAAACCUAUAUUUACUUACUACAUCUUCUUGCUUCUUUGGACCUUCUUGUUGGAAGCUGUACUUACUACAGAUACUUGCUUCUUUGGAGCUUGUCUCCUUUCAUUAAUCUUGUUUGGAAUCUUACUUAACCAUUGCCUCCUUUCACUUAUCCUGGAUGUAGUGGUGAAGUAUGCCAUACCUCCUGUUUGAGCUAUGUAGUUAAUGGGUUGAUACUGGUCUAAUGGCAUGGUUAUGUUUGUAUAUUUGGCAGGCGCCUGGAGAAGCUUGAGAUGUUAAAACGUCGUGGAAAAGGACCACCGAAGAAGGGUCAAGGAAAGAAAGCUGCAAAGCGCAACAAAGUCAGCACCCCUGGGAAAUAGUGACUUUGUCUUGGAGUUGAAUGUGUUCCAAGGAAAAUUUAGACUAAUUGCAUUGGAAAAAUGGGUACCUAUUGAUGGUUGUCCAGUCAUAUUCUGAGCUACUAUGUUGAUAUUGCCACAAGUUUUUUUGGGCUGACUUCAAUGACAAUGGGUACGAUCUUCAGGAUAUUGUAGAAUUAUCUUUUUUGGUCUAUAGUUCCAUUCUCUUCAUUUUUCUUUCCUCGUCCUCCUGUAGUAAACUAUGAUGCUCGUAUGGCAGCAUUGCUGGGUCUCUGUUCUGUAGUACAGACUAACUUGUAUCUAAUUUUAACGCUGCUAGGCCUCUGGCCUGGUAGUCACCACCAUGCGGGAGAACCCUUGACCUUCCACCAAAAUUUGCCACAAUAUGUGGCGGUUUUAAUUGGUUUCCUUCAAUCGAGUCUAUAUUCAGAUUGAAUCCCCCUCCCCCUUGCCCCGUAGAUUAUGCUAGAUUAGGUUAUAGGAAUUCUAUCGUUGUGAAAAAAAAAAAAAUUAUCUAAUUUUAAUGCCUUUUUCCUUUUUUUUUUUUUUUGUUUUGGGUUUUUUUUUUUUAAUGGCUGAAAUCGGCCCAAUCUAGCUCGGGCAGAAGCCGACCGUGAUUUGAGUUGAAAUUCAAGUCAAUGGCUGAGAUCAGCUUUAGGUCUGCUGGGCUGAUCUCGGCCGUUAAAAGACCUCUGCAGUUGCACCUACUACCACAGAGUAUCCGCCAGUGCACCUCUCCUCCCCUGAGAAGGUGUAUUGUGAAAUAUCGUGUAGUGACGUUACAUUUUCUCUACACUUAAAUUUUGUUGAGAGUCUUAACAACAAAACAUUAAAUGAAAACGAGUUUUCAGAUGGAAUCUAGCCACCCUCACGCAGAUGACUCCCAAGGUAUUUCUGAGAACAUUUUCUUCCUACUCCAUAACCCUCUAUAUGCUCCACAAAAAUGGUUGUCCUUUGAACUAUCAGUUUUGCUAAGUCAUAUUUACCUCCUAUUUUCCAUGCACUCAUGCAACAAAAGUGUGUCAUCUGGCUCUGGACUUGGACCAAUCCUCACUCUCCCCUUUUAGCAGCAACAUCAUCCAUCAUUAGACAGACUUAGUCGAUGAAAUAAGCAUUGUUGUUUAAUUUGUUAGUUAAUCAAGUUUUGCAGUUCUAAUCUGCUUGGUUUGUGGAGAAACUUGGUAUUAAUGUUCCAGUGACAAUUUACUGCCUAAAGACUUUAUGAAAAGUUGGUAUUAAAGAUGAGAAUUUAAUCAACUACUGUAUUAAGAAAGUGAGGAAGUUAAGCAAACUACUCAAUAUAUCCAGGGUUAAGUAGAAUGUGGUCAUAUGAAUCUGACAGGAGGACACAGCUGGAAUACACUAUUAAGAACUUACAAGCUUUUGAUCGUAUAACAUUUCUUCAUAUCUCAUCUCCGCUCUGCUGAUCCUCAAAUUGUCAACAGAGCAAUCAAACACUAAAUAACAAAUGACACAAAAUGUACAUUUGGUGGUGUUUCUAUCUGUACUUAGCUCAAACGUGUCUGUUUCCAUUAGGGACAAAAUAUCACCAGUAAUCCCCACAAGAGCAAGUACCAUCCUUGAAAUGAUGGAACCUGCGAACAUCUCUCACAAUGAUCUCCCUCUGUACAAUCUUUGAAAUGAAUUUGCAAGCAGCAUGACAAUCAUUGCAAACUCUAAGAUUCUUGGCUACUCGAAUAGUAGUCCCAGGAGGGGUAUUUAGGAGACCAAAGGCCAUUGCUAAUCUCUCACUAUGUCCACACAGCAAAUUCUCUUUCUGCUCUUCAUCAACAUUGUGAAGUACACAGGAAGUAUCAGGCUCAUAACCCUCCUCUUUCAUCUUAUCUGACAGUUCAUCAAUAAAGCUGUAAAGCUGCUCACUUUGUGGGUGUGAUAGGUCUCCAGCCAAGAACUUAUGAACCUCACCACCAAACUCAAUCCAACUGCUCCCAGGUUCUUUUCUCACUCCCUUUUCCUUCAUGUUCUUGCGGACAUUAUUAGCUUUUUCCCAAAGUCCAGCAGAUGAGUAAAUGUUAGAUAGUAAAACAUAGUGGCUAGCAACAUCUGGCUCCAACUGAAUGAGAUUGUUUGCUGAAAUUUCGGCAAGUUCUACAUUUCGGUGGACCCGGCAAGCACCAAGCAUACUGCUCCAAGCCCCUACCUUGUCAUAGUCUAUGGGCAUGGAAUUGAUGAGUUGAAGUGCUUCCUCAAGCUGACCAGCUCGACCAAGCAAGUCAAUAACACAUGCAUAGUGGUCCGCUGUAGGUUCAAUCCCAUGAUCUUCUUUCAUUUUAUGAAACAGUUGCCAGCCUUCAUCUACCAACCCAGAAUGACUGCAUGCUGCAAAAAUUGCAAUAAAGGUCACUUCAUUAGGUCUCAGUUCUCCAUUUCUGGAUCCAUCCGCUACCAUAGCAUUGAAAAGUGCCAAGGCUUCGUUUCCUUUCCCAUGCAUCCCGUAAGCCAUUAUGAUGACAUUCCACGAGAUCAAAUUUCUGGUAGGCAUGCCAUCAAAAAACCUUCUUGCUAAAUCUAGACAUCCACAUUUGGCAUACAUAUCAACCAAGGCACUACCAACAGCAACAUCUGAGGCAAGGGCAUUUCUAAUAGAAUUGGCAUGAAUCUCUUUACCCUUUGAUAGUGUUGAUAAGGCAGCACAACCAGGAAGGACAGUCAUUAGUGUUAUUGAAUUUGGUUUAAUAGGAGUUCCAAGAUUGCCCUCAUAGUUAUCCUUCCAUUCCAUGCUUAUUUCUGCUUCUUGCAUUUGAUGCAUUAGACGAAGUGCAUUUUCAUGGUAUCCACACACUACACAGCCCGUAAUCAUAGUGUUCCAAGAAACAAUAUCUCUACUGUCCAUGAUUGAAAAGAUAUAUUCUGAAACAGUUAUCUUGCCAAUCCUAGAGUACAAGUCCAUCAAUGCAUUUUGCACAUACCGAUCUCUUGCAAAACCUAGUUUUAUUAUAUAUCCAUGAAUGACUUCUUUAUUGGAAAAUGCUUCACAGUGCACGCAAGAUGGCAAGACACUUGCAAUUGUGGUUGGGUUUGGCAGAAGCCCUGGAAUCUCCAUCAUAUCCAUAAAAAGCAUCAAGGCAUUCUCAUAAAAUCCAUUCCGUGCAUAACCAGCAAGCAUGGCAUUCCAAAGCCCAAGCCUCCUCUCUGGAGUACCAUCAAACACUCUCCUCCCACUUUCCACCUGUUUACAAUUGCAAUACAUGUCAACCAAUGCACUUGCCACGAAAGAGUUCUCUACCAAAUCUUCAUUCCUCAGAACAAAUGCAUGAAUUUCCUUCCCAAUGUCAAGUAGCUCUAAAUUAGAACAUGCAGGAAGAAUACUCGAAAGUGUCAUGCCAUCAGGCAUGAACCCCUCAAUUAUCAUCAUUCUGAAGUGCUCCAAUGCCUCAUAAAAUUGACCAUUCUGUUGACAUGCACUUAUAAUGGUAUUCCAUGCAACCACAUCACGAUUAGCAUAAACCUCAAAUACUGCCCUAGAAUCACCAACACUUCCUAGUUUUGCGUACAUAGUCAUCAAAGCAUUCUUGGUAAAAGUCUUGCAAUCAUCCACUCUCAAACUAUACCCAUGAACUUGCUUCCCAAGCUUCAACCCAUCACUACCACCCAAAUUACUACACGCCAGUGCGGCACUCACCAAGUAAAGGAGCUAGCUCAGUUCCCUCAUUACCCAUCAAUCUUAACGCUUCUAAUGCCAUUUCCCACUCCUCAAAUUUACACAAAGCAUUAAUCAUCGUAUUCCAAGACACUUGAUCUCUUUCAGGCAUUCCAUCAAAUACCUUGAACACUUCCGACACAUCUCCACAACUCCCGUACAAAUGAAGCAGGGUAUUGGCCACGGUAACUGACGAAUAAUCAUACCCAAGCUUAACAACAGAACCAUGUACCUGCUUUCCAAAAUUCAAGUCGUGAAGACCCGUGGCGGCCUUCAAAACCGCUGGAAAGAUAAAGUUGUCCGGCGUAAUGCCUACAGUGGCAUCUGAAUGUAGGUGGAAACGGCCUCUUCGAAGCGUUUGGCUUGGGUCAGGGAUCGAAAUUCUUUGCUCCAUGAGGUUAAGGAACGUGCGUGUGAAGUGGGUUUUGGUGGGUUUCCAGUGAUGGUCGGAGGAAAAAGAGUUUUAGUGUGGUGGUGGAGAGCGGUGGUUGAGGGUAAGUUUUUAUCUGAGAUGGUGGCUUCGGGAUUUGAGUUUGUAGAGAAGAAACGGGGUAGGGAGGCUGAGAAAGAGCUUGUGUGGAUGUACAGGGAAUGACAUUGGCGGAUAAGGUAGUUAUCACUGUUGAUGCGGCUUCCCUCCCUUGUAGUCGUUUGUUUUGGAUGGUUUAUUAUACUUGCAUGCUUUUAUGGGUUAAAUCACAAUAAGUCCCCUAAAGUUUGGUGUGUUUAGAAGUUUACCCCUUUACUUUUCUCACUUUAUCCUCUUCGUCAAUUUACCUCAGCAAAUUGGCCGUCAAAACAUUGUAAUUGGCAAAAAUAUCCCUCAUUUUAAUCAUUAAAUUUUUUGAUGAAAAUGGCACUUUUCAUGUUUCAUAAAGAAAUGAACCCCCAGAAGUUAUCAAGUAUGUUUUGGGCAUUUAUCACGUCAAAAAAUUUGCUCUCACUCUUUUGCAAUAUUUGCAACUAAAAUGCCAAGUUUCUUAAACUGCAUUCCCUUGCUCUCUCGUUAGAUGUUGCUUAGCACACCAUAUGAAAAAAAUCCAAUUCAAGAAACCUGUGAAUGUGUUAAAAUAGCCUUGAGAAGAUCUUGGACGUUGAAAAUUUUUCGAAAGGACAUUUCAUGAAUAUUCAAAUUAUAAGGUUUGAUUUUUAUGAUAGGCUAAUUAUUUUUUGUACUUUUUGGAAAACUAAUUUGAAAUACAUAAAAUUUUUAUUUAGAAUCAUCAUGCAUAACAUUACUUUGAAUGGAUAGACUCGAAAUUGUUCGCAGAGGAAGAAAAAUAUAUGCUAUAUCCGACCCAAAUCUAUGGGCAUUUAUAUCUAUUCAUUAUUUUUUAGGGAUAGUAUUGUACUUUUGAUGUCAACUAUCAGCAUUGUCCUUUUGAUGUCAAUGAUCAGCACCGUCACAAAAUGUUGGAGGAGGGGCUGGAACGGUUGUCAGAGAUAAAACCGUUCCGGAAGGUUCACGGUCAUGAUUAGGCCAAAAAAUUUUGUGCGGCUCAGAUCAUUCCUUGUAAUUUGAUUUUCACGCCAUGUGGGACCCACAAAAAUAUUGUUCUAGUGUUACUCGCUGUUGUUCUAUUAUUACACCUUGUAUAAAUAAUGUUACACCGUGUGCAAAUGAUGUUACGUCUUUCGGAACGGUUGCUAUCGUUCCAGCCCGGAUCCCAAAAUGUUUGCUUUGCUAGUCAAGGGGAUAAAAUGAAAAAAAUAAAACAUUAGGAAAUAAACUGCAAAAUAUACUAAACCUUAGGGGGACUCCUUGUGAUCAAUCUGAAUUUUAUUUGCUUGGAUUUUAAACCCAUUUUUUAAUCACCUUUUAUUUGAUUCGAGAUACAUUACAUCAAAAUAGUGUUACAUAUCUUUUCAAAAAAAUUAUCCCAAAUACUCUUCCGUCCAAACCUCAUCCCUGUUAUAUUUAGUAAUUUCUUAUUCAUUUAUAAGGGACAAAUUAAUCAUUUCUUGAUUGCAUUUUUACUUCAAAAGAAAUAAUAAUGUCUUUCCAUUGGAUACAACAUGAACACUCUUGCAUUUCUUUUCACGGUCGUCUCAAUGACAUGUAAUUGAACUUAAACCUAACCGAAUCCAAAGAUAAUUAUGCAGGAAAAGUUUAAUUGGCAUAAAUCAAUUCCUUUACUUCUCAAAUUUCUCAUGGACUAUGAAGCAUAAGAUUUUUUGCAUCACCAAUCUAAGAUAGACAUGAACACAUCUUAGUGCAUCAUACUGUGGCACGGAUGGUUUGACAGAUGAAUUGUGAACGUUUUUUUAACAUUUUCUGUACUUGGCAGUAUUGUGAAGACAACCUAAGAUAGGAUUAUUUAUAUUAUCCAACAUCCAUUACUAAAACUUUAGGAUCCUAAAAAGUGACAUUCCAUGUCUAUCCAGAAAGAUAAAAAGAGUAGAAUCUCUUUUCAAGAAAAAGGGAAAAAAAUAAAUCUUAUAUAGAUUAAUAUGUACAUCAACGGUGAUACAUUAUUACGAUUAGAUGAACAAUACAUAUAAAAAAUUUUAUUUUAAAUUUAAAUUCGAAUUAUGUUUGAUAUAUUAAAUAAUAAAAAUAUAUACUGCCUGUAUAUAAACGAUUAAUUAAAAAAAUGCCAAAAAAGAAGGGGAAUGGAUUCAAUAGAAUCUUGCAGAACUUUUGCAUAGAAUCGGUGAAGGAUAAGAAUCCGCACUCUUUCCACAUUUCUGAACCUGGCUCAUCAUCUUUCAUCCUUCCAGCACGGAAUCCCCCAGGCCCCAUCCUCGGAACUAGGGAUGUACGCGAACUGAGAUACUUGCGAGUGACUCGCGAGUAGCUCGAUCAAUGGCUUGGCUCGAAUUCGAGUUGAUCGAGUUCGAACCGAGUUUCGAGUAGCUCAAUUGUCGUUUGAGUUGAGUUUCGAGCCUCAAAUUUUUGGCUCUCGCGACUUAUCGAGUAGCUCAUCGAGUCGAGGUAUUUAAAUAAUAUAUUUAUAAUUUAAAUAAUAUAUAUGUAUUAUAAUUAUAAAAUGACUAUUAUGGGUAUAGGUUAUACGGAAUUUACAAUAUACUCUUCUUUAUAAUAAAAUUCUAUAAUGGCAAAAAAGUAAUAACAUAAUUGUAAAAUUACCUAAAAAAUUAUCGAGUCGAGUCAAAAAACUUGAUUAGACUCGACUUGAUAAGGCUUAACUAAGGGCUGACCCUUAUCGAGUCGAGUCUCGAGUUUAAAACGAAUUUAUCGAGUCGAGUUUCGAGUAUUAAUUUUUUGACUCGAUCGAGCUCGAGCUCCCGGGAUAUAUGAGUCGAAUCGAGCUCCAAUAUUGCUCGACUCGAUUACAUCCUACUCGCGGACCACUUGACUACGACCGAUCACUUUCUCGCAUCAAAAUCACAUUUAACAUCCAUCCCUCCAGACAACAAGAAUCCCAGUUAAACUUUCUUUCUAUAUCAUUUUACUGUAGGUUCAGACUUUGGUAGAGACUGAUUGCUACUAUAAAUAUGGAGUCUUGAGCAAGGCAGAUUGCAUCCCAGAACAGCUCUGCUUUAUCCACCAUAAUAUCAGCACCAGCAGCAGACUGGUAGCUAGUAGUUGUUAUUAUAGAGGCACAAAAUGGCCGAGUAUACAAGAGAAGCAGCUAAAGUUACAUCAAUCUUUGUAUACCCCAUCAAAUCUUGCCGUGGAAUUUCUGUUUUUCGGGCACCCCUUUCUUCCACUGGUAAAAUCAAUCACUCCUCUACAUCUUUUUAAAUUUCAGAUUUUCAUCUUCUUGUCCCUUAAUUGGUCUGGCAUGUGCUUUCAAUUUCUAUCAUGGGUUCUUGGAAUUUCCCCGCCAUGCAUUUGAUUAUAACCUAUUUGUGCUGAAAAAAGAAAAUAGGAUCUUGGAAUUUUGGUCUUCAGUCCAUGCAUGUGUAACUAAAUUCAGUUCAGUUAGAAGAGAAUUUUGGGUUUUUCUUUAGUUAACAAGAAUGAGAACAUUUACUUUCGAAAGGGAUAGAUUAUUGAAAGGACCAUUAACAACCAUCAAGGUUAAGCCCAUAGUUCUGUUGGAUGAUAACCAUGUAAUCUUAGUACUUUAUUGGAUGGUUAAGGUACACGCAAUUUAUAAUUUUUAGCAGCAAUACUAAAUUUUAAUUUUGAAAUGCUAGCCUGGCUUGUCAUCGAUUCUUCACUAACAUGAAACUUGAUUUCAAUUUCACGUUCAGAAUGAUACAAAUUCUUUCCUGCUAAAUUUAUGUUGCAGGGUUUCGAUGGGAUCGACAGUGGUUGGUAGUGAAUUCCAAAGGCAGGGCUUAUACACAGAGACUAGAACCAAAGCUUGCUUUAGUUGAAGUAGAACUGCCAAAUGAAGCAUUCUCUGAUGGUUGGGUUCCAAAUAACAGCUCAUACAUGGGUAAAAGCUCGGACUUCUACAAUAAAAUUCAAAUUUAUUCUCCAGUUUUUAGAUAUUUACCUUCUUGUUUUGUCAUUUGAUCAAUAACAACCUACUACAGGAUUGAAAUUUUCCCCCUUGACUUGACUUUUCAUGUCAAGCUGCAUAUCUUAGGCAUUAUUAACACAAUAAGAUAAAAGAAUUUAGAUAAAGAACUGGCAGAAGAGUUGAGAACUAGUAGAUUAAUUGCGAAAUUAUGAGCGUACUUUCCCUGUUGCCUAUUCGUCCUUUUCUUUUUCUUUUUCUUUUUUUUUUUCCGGCGGGGGGGGGGUGGUUGGUUGUCUCCAGAGGUUGGGGUUGAUGGAGAGAUUGGAGUUUGUUCCUAUACUUUAUGAUUGCAAUAUACCUGUAAUCUUUGGUGACUAUUGGAUAUGCCAUAAACAUUGAUAAGAUGUGCAUGUAACUUUUUGUUCCUUUCCCUGACCACCGAGGUAGGGGAACUUUUCCCUGGUUCUAUGAUUACAUUAUGCAUGUUCUUUUUCUGACUAAUGGAUGAUACAUAAUGUCACAGUGAUAAGAGCUCCUGGCAUGGAUCCACUGAAGGUUUCCUUAUCUAAACCCUCUGCAACAGCUGAUGGUGUCUCAGUCUGGGAGUGGUCUGGCUCUGCAUUUGAUGAGGGAGAUGGUGCAUCAAAAUGGUUCUCCAGAUAUCUUGGAAAGCCAAGUAGAUUAGUUCGUUUUAAUGAAGGUAGCGAUCAAUCUUUAUAUUCUACAGAAAUUCUGGUUUUAUGUCUAGCAAUAAAAAAUCUGCCGCUUGAUAUUAUGGUUGUCUUCACCUCAUGAAUGCAAAUUCAUGUUUGUGAUAUUUACCUGCUUAUUUUCUUGAAAGGUCACUAGGCAUGUUCCGAAGCAUUUCGAAAGCACGUUGUUGAGAGUUGUAGCUUUUUUUUUUUUUGCCCCUUUUAUAAAUUAAGAACUGUACUCUUUUGUUGGUUGGCUACAUUUCACAGAAACUUGGCUUGAAAUAAACUUCUCUUGAUCUUUUUAAUUGUUAGUCUUCAAUUUUUUCUUUUUGGUUUUUGAACUUUUUGAUUGAACCAUUGGCUUCUCUAACUUCAAGGAUGACUUGUCUGUACUACUAAGUUUGAGAUUCUUAGUCAUAUAUGGAUCUCUCUGAUAGUCUGUUUACUUAACAAUUGAUGCCUAGAGAUCCUUACUACUCCGUUUGACAAGAAUUGAAGUUUCAAAGUAAAUUGAGUUGCAGUCGUAAGUUGAGGCUAUAAGGCUAGGAUCUCCAAGGCUUUCAUGUUAUGCUUUACUGACAGAUUUAUUCAAUUAGCAGGAAAUUGACUGUCCAUAUAUCAAUACUUGGUAAUGUCCCUGAAUUUCCACAAUUGCUAACAUGUUGAAAUACAGGGUAGUUUGAUUGCCUGUUGACAGUUAUUGGCAAUUAGAGGAUUUGACUUAGUUGGAUGUCCUUGUUGAUGACUUAGAAUCCAAAUAUGCAACUGUUUUUCUUUGCAUCUAAAAAUUUGACGUGCAGUCCAUGCUGCACCUAAAGCAGAAUGACUAGGCUGUUUAUUUAAAAGAAAAAAAUAAAUAAAAUAUAGAGGGAUAGGAGGAUAAUGAUUUUGUGUGCUGUUUGUGGUGCAGCGUCAAACAAGGAAUGUCGACCCUAACUAUGCUCCUGGAUACAAAGUCAUUUCUCUGACCAGUAUCCCUUCCUCCUUGCAUCCCAGGUUAAUUAAAUUUGAAUUACAGUGGCAUUGUCCUAUCAGAUGGCUUCCAGAUGUUGAUAAUUCCCAAUAUGCCUUUUGCAGGGAUCAUUAGAAGCCUUGAAUAAACUUCUCAAGGAACCAAUACCAAUUAAUCGUUUUAGGCCCAAGUAAGUAUAGAAAGUUCUCCUUUUCAUAGUUUUGAUCAUUCCUCACUGCAUAUCUAACACUUCUGCGUAUAAUAGCUACACUCAAUUUUUGCAGUGCUCAGACCAAACAUAUUUGGUCUUUUAAAAUCCUUACAGGUGUUUGCUUCUCCUGAAAUGGGCAGAGAUUCUUGUUUAUUCUUUCUUUAAAAAAUGUUCUUUUCUUGAACUAAAGAUAUUAAAAUUUGCACAACGGCAGUAUUCUUGUUGAUGGAUGUGAACCAUUUGCCGAGGACUUGUGGAAGGAGAUCAGGAUCCAGAAGUUAACAUUCAAUGGUGUCAAAUUAUGCUCUCGCUGUAAGGUAAUAUCCUAUCCCUUAUCUUUUGGCUGAACUAUUUUCAUUCACCUUGCUUCUUUAGAAUCCAAUUGUUGAGCGGAGAGAUCCUGGCUUUCAGUGUGCAGGAAUUUAUUGGUCAUCUUGUUGCCUAGAUAUUUUAUUGCUAACAGAAAUAUGGCCGUCUUAUCAACUGGAAGAACAGUGCUUGGUUUGUAGUUGAGUGUCGUAAAAUGCUAAGUAGCUCCUGAAUAUGUGAAUUUGUGGCUGACCGUCAAUGUCACAAAGCAUUAAAUAUGAAUACUAGUGUACUAAAAAUUUUUGUAGGUUGCAAUAGGUUCUGAGUCUACCGUGCACAUUUAUUUAUAUACACUCGUAGACUCCAAGAGCCAAAGGAAAACUUGUCCAACUUGGUCUGCUACCUGAAAGGAAAUUGAUAUUUUGUCAUUAUGUGAGUUUUCGAGUAUAUAAAUAAGACUCUUAAGAACCGAAGUAGAACUUUGCUGGUCUGUUAGGAAUUUUGAAGCUAAAUAGCUCGAGAGCUAAUCAAAACUACAGUAAAAAGUUCAUACUCUAAGCUGUGUAAUGUUUUUCUGAGCUUGAGAAAGGUUGUAAUCUCAUACGCAGGAACCGUUUAAGAUAACCUGCUAUUGGAUUUCUUUUUUCAACGUUCAUAAUUAACCAGACAUAACCAAAUGUUUUUAUUCCUUGCCUUUCGCCCUUAUUUCAUCAUGAGCUUCAUUUUGGGCCAAACUUGCACUGGUGGACAUAAACCUCAAUAAACACGCAGUGCUAUAACAUGCUGAAAUCACAAAACUCGUAUAUUAUACUUACUGGGGUAGAAAGACAGUUGCUGUUCUUGUGCUUCCAGCAGUUGGAUUCUCAGUCUGAUGUACAUGACCAGUCAGCUCAAAAGCCACAAGUCUUUCGUGUCUUAGAUGAUCUUAACAUCUGUAAUGUUGACUCGAAUCUUUCGCGUCCAAACCGUGGGAUUUUAGAUGGUUGUUUGGUAGACUGUGUGUAUUGAAUGCAAUUGGAAUUAUUAGUUCAGGCGUGCAUGUGUUGAUGUGUUAUAGUACUUCUCAUCAAUCUAUAGUUGAAGACUUUAAUGUUCUAUGCUACUUGUCUCUUUCAGGUACCCACAAUUAAUCAAGAAACUGCAAUUGCAAACUCCGAGCCAACUGAGACUCUGAAGAAGUUCCGUUCGGAUAAAGUACUGCGCAAGAAACCGCAGGGCACCAAGGUAAAUCAGGGGAACUUGGACUAUAACUUAGAAUAUAAUUCUAUCAGCAUAAUUACGUAUUGAGGGUGUGAGCAUUUGAAUCUGCAGGUGUAUUUUGGACAGAACAUGGUAUGCUCCGACUCUCAAAUUCCAGGAAAGGGAAAGAUGAUAACGGUGGGAGAUCCUGUCUAUGUUCUCAAGGCGUUCUCUUCUGCAGCUGAUGCUGAAGCUUGAAUGCUCUUGCAGUCUUCCCAUUUGCCAGUAAUCUGUUGUGUGGGAAACAAAAGAACCAAAUAAAUAAGUUGCCACAGGGCAUUUUCUUCGCCUUUGUGAAUCAUUUCCCCCGUUGCAUGCCAUGGCAUGGUUUGCUCGGCAAAAUUACAGAGGGAAUUGUAUGCAAACAAAUAAAAUUCCCGUGCUCUUGCCUUUAAGCAAAGCCGUCCAAGUAAUCUGAGAUAUUUUUAAAAACAUUUUAUACGGUAAUUACUAUAUCAAGCUUUUCUUUAAAACUAUCUAUAAUUAGUGGCACAAGACUAAUAAACACUUGGUGAGGGCUACCACUUAAAAUGUACAAGAAGAAAAAGUUUAAAACCUGCUGCUCAUUUUUAUAUUUAUAAUGAUAAGGGUCAAAUUCGGGCCAAAACAGACUGAUCUGAUUAUUGAUUGAUACCUGUUCUGAAGAUCAAAGGCUCACGUGCUAGAUUUUGGAAACCACAGAGCACAAUUUGUGGAAUCCUCCUCCUUUCCAUUUUUUUUUUAUAUGAUAGUAAUACCAGUGGAUGAACCAAGCUGCAGUUAGAAAUCUGCCCAAUCACUCAAAAAAAAAAUUGACAGAAGACAAAUUUAAAUCAAAAUUCUGUCACCGGCGAGUAGUAUAAUCUAGUUGCUGGCAAAAUCUCAAAAUCCUUGACCAUUAAGAUAAGCAACACUCGUACAACUAAACAAAGUAAUGUGAACUAAAACAAAACAAUUCUGAGCAACCACUGCUUGAAGCAAACAUGCUCUAGCUCACAGGUCCUGCACGCUCAAACCUGCAAUAAUUGAAAGAGAACGAACGUAAGUGUCCAGGAAAGAUGAUAAAACAAUCUCAACUACACCACAAGUAUCAGACAUAAUGCACAGAGCUCUUGCAACCUAUUAUUUGAUCUGUCAAGGGCAAGGCAACUCAACCAUAAAUUACAGCCACUAGCCAAUUUCCUGUCUAUUCAUAUUUUGGCUUUCAUUCAUACAUCAUUAAGAAUCUGAGCCAGAAUACCCAGCUUAAGGUUUCAAAAUCAAGAAAUCACUUCAAACUCAGAAACAAAGACAUAAAGCUAAAUAAUGAAAUAUACUAGUUUAACAAUGGAAAGCAAAUAAGGUUUAGAAGCACGAGUCAAAUCACUACAAAAUCCAACUUAGACAAAGUCUACUCAAUCUAUGAGACUUCCACAUCAUUAUCAACAAUAGCAAAAUGAAGCUAGAGAUAAAAAGCACAAAAAAACGAGCUUAUACUUUAUAUUCUGAUUGAUACUAUGUUACACUACAUAAUUAUGGUAGUGAAUGGUUUUGAGAAAAUACUACAGCAUGAAUAUUGCAGUACUUGGAGAAAAAGCAGUCAUCACAAACCUGGGGGAAGUGAUUGCUUCAACUUGUCAGCCUUCUCGGAGUCGAAGACGCAGAGUGUGUACAGAUACUUAGAGCAGCGAACCUUGAACUUCACCACAUCUUUGCUCCUCUUUAUCUUCACGGAACGCGCAUCCUUCCUUCUAGCAGUGAGAAGAAAAUCCUUAAUCUCGUGUAUUUGCUUCGGCUAUGAUCAAGACGGAAAGCAGUUAGUGACAUCCACAAGAAAAAACAUUGGCAGCUAAAGUUUUACUGUAAAAGUAGAUACUAUUGCAAAAUAAUGAAUUAAGUAGUAAUUCCGCCGAAAAACAAUUCUCGCAAAUCAGUUUUUCAGCCUAAGUGUCUCUUUAUCAGAUUUCAACUUCUAAGGCUUUCCUCUUCCCUAUAUAGAAACAUAGCGAAUUUAUCAAAAAAUAGCACCAUUUGUGAACUAGAUAACAGUCUUGCAAUAACAUCAGGACAAUAGUAUAUGAGCUCUGAUGACAAAGUCAAUCCAAGCAUAAUGAGUCCACGAUGGUUCAAAUUCAAAAAGAAAACUUUCACCAACUGAAUUGUAUAACAUAGCUAGAUAUUCAGCUAUCGCUCAAUCUCAUUACAGUUACCAAAUUUAAGCAGAACUUCAAAACAAAUUCUACAUAAAAGUAAGUGUGCAUAUGAUCUCAACGCUAAUAGGGGAAAUUUUAUAUAAAUUGAGCCCAGGAAGCUAUGAAAAGGGGAAAUGACAACAGAAAAACGGUAAUAACCGCAACAUAAUUACGUAUAUUCAUAUAUCCACUCCAACCAAUAGUCAUCGUUCACACAAAUCAAACGUUGCAUUACAUAUCCUUAAAAUCAAAGUAAAAUAAAAUACAAAAAGGAAGAAAGAUCCUAAGCCCGAAAUGGAAAAAAAAAAUGAAUCGAUAAUCCCCUAACCUCAAGUAUAUAGUAGAAGACAAACAAAUGCUAGUUCUUCCACGAAUAAGAAUUAACCAAAAAUAAAAAGGAAAAAAAUGCAAAGAAGAUGACUACAAAUGGCGCAUUAACUCGAAACUCAUACAGAAAUAUGGCAAAGAGAAACCAAAUUUAAAUGGUAAAUCGGAAGAAAUUUGAAGGGGAGAUAGAGAUAGAGAUAGAGUACCAUGUUUAGCGACGAUGAAGAGCAAAGUAAAGCAGCUGCUGCGGCGGCUCCUCCUCCAGCACCAGAGCAAUGGUUUAUAUAACACUCUCGGCGCACAUAAAACCUAGGAUUUUGUUUUCCGAAGUUUCUUUUCCCAAAUUUUACCCCUAACCUCAUGAUAUUUAUCCUUAAGUCCCUCCCUUAAAGUCCCUUUUAGGGGUGGCAAUUUUCGACAGAUCUGAAAAUCCGACACGAACCUAACACGAAAUUAAUAGAUUGGGAUUUAGAUUUGAUAAAAUCGGUCAGAAUCGAGUCAAACCUGACAAAUUCAAAAAAAAACAUGUCAAAAUCGGGUUAAAAACGGGUUGACCCGUCAACCCGAUUUUAAAAUAAAUAAAUAAAUAAAUAAAUAAAUAUUAAAAAAGUAUCUAAAAACUUAAUAGUAAAUAACUAAAUAUAAUAUACCAAUUAUCACUUAUCACUACGCAGAAGCAGAAAUCACGCCGGCCCUAAAUCUUUCUUUUCCUUUUCAACUUUUCUCUUCCAAAAAUCUAAACUCAACUUUUUUCCUCCAAAAAUCUAAACGCAAAACCAGAUUUAGAUCUAGAUCUGACUGAUGAUGACACUGAUGCACACAGGACUGAUUUGAUGACCAUAACCAGUUUGUAUUGAACGAGCAGUCCAACUGUCCAAGCACGCAAAAUCUCGCGGGGAUUUCACUAUCUUGCCUCAAUCACAUUGUUUUGGGUUGCAAGUUCAUUUGUUCUACUAUCAACAAGGUCCCUCCGUUAGAGUUCUUUACUUCUUUUCUUUUCUUGAGCUUUUUCCCUCUUUUCUAAAAACAGAGGCAGAAAGAUGAAAUCUUGUGUUUUGUCACUUAUAUUUUAACUACAUUUAUAAAACCGCUUCCACUUUUUCUCUCUUUCUCUAACACAUACACACACACCAAAAAGUCUCUUGGCGUAAAAUGUUCACCGAAAAUCAAUUACCGGCCUUUCCAACCUCAGAAAAACAUUUAUUACGAUUUUCUUGGGCAGAGAAAUGUCAUUCGAUGAAUUAAAUUUCAGGUCGUUUCGGUCAACCCGCUUGACCCGCCAAUCUGAAACUUUCGAGUUCGGCAUCAGCAUGCCUGACCCGUCACGGGUUGACGGCGUCAAGUUCGAUUCAACAGAUUUUUCUGACGGAUUGCGGUCAAAACCCGACCCAUCAACAUGAUUUGAACCCGAUUGCCCAUCCCUACUCCCUUUGUCCCUUUCUUUGGCCUUCUAAUUUUUUCUGGAGUUUUGAGGAGAAAAUUAGAAAAUAGUUUAGUAUUGCUUCUAAUUGUAAUAUAGACACAAAUAGGGAAAAUUUUUUAUAAGAUAAUCUCUUCUUUUUUUUUUGAGUUAGCGUCCUGUUUGAUAACUCAAUUCAGUACGUAAUUUAAUGAAUUCAGAUUGUUUGAUAAUAAAAAAUUGAACAUCUAAAAUUAAUUAAAUGUCAUUAAAUUUUCAAAGCAAAACUUGCUCUCAAAAUUAAGCGAUAAAUUAUUCACUUAUCAUUGAAUGUGAUAUGCAUUCAAAUAUAUUAAAUUUAAUAUUUAACAAUUCAAUAACUUAAUAAAUUCACACUUCAAAUUUUAAAUUUCAAUUAUUAGAUUUCAAUUUUAUCAAACGUACCCUUAGUAUUAUUUUGCUUAAAUAUUUCAAAAUCUUAAUUGAGUCCUUGAAAUUUUAAAAGGUUUUAUUUUAUCCUUUAAAUCAUUCCAAAUAAUAAAAAUCUCAAUUUGGUCACUUUGAGAGAAAAAGUUUCAAUUUGGACACCAAAGGAAGCCACAAAAUUGUAACUUGGACUCUAAAAGUGAAAAUCUUAAUCGGGUCCUCCACAUUGAGAAAACAUUCCAACAUGGUCCUCUAUAUGUAUUUUGCAUUUGCUAUUAAAACAAGAUACCAACGCCGAAAGAAUUAACUCCAAAAAUAGAAAAAUAUAAGCAAAAGUAAUUCUUGUCCUUCUAUCUAAAAAAAAAUCUUCGUUGGGUUCUUCUUCUUCUCUUCUUUUUUUUUCACACAAUGGUUGAAAAUUAUUUGAACUAAUUCUUUUUUUCUAUAAUUCUUUUUUUUCACAUAAGAUGACAAGUAACUCAUAAUGGUGAGAAUAACAUAAUUAUAAAAUUAACCCUUUUAUGAUGAGAAUUAUAAAUAAAUCAUGUUAGAGAUAGGCGAUAUUAUUGAAAUAAUUUUAAAAAAAAAUACUGUAGCACUUUUUUGAUGUGAUAUUUAUGAGAUAAAAAUGUAAUUAAAAAAUAUAUUUGAUGAUGCAAGCAAGUCAGCGUGUACAAAUAAAGUGUAAAUAAAGUGCAAUCCAAACACAAAGUUGAACCCCUUGGCUUCUAUUAUUAAUAAACUCCAAGCCUUUUGUGCCCUAAAAACUCAAUACAGGUAAAUUCUUUGAUUUAAUUUCAAUACAACAUACCGUUUUAUUAUCGAUGAAACUCAAAAUUGUUUUGUGUUAAAAUCAAAAGAAUUAACAAUAGAUUGGACUCUUAUCAUUGAAUAAAUUAAGCCUCAAAUGCUUUAUGUAACAAGACUAAAAUGGGAUUGCGUUUUGUAUGUAUUUUACUGUUGUAGCUCCAAAUCAAACCAAAAAAUCAGGCGAAAAAAAAAAGUACUGCCACAUCUAAUAUACUAUAUACACCUGCUUGAAUUUUACAUCUAUAGGUUUUAAAACAGCACUGGCAUGGUCCAUGGUUGGAGCAACCAUAUUCGCGUCUAAUCAUAAUGUGAUCACGCUCAAAUUGAAUUUGAAUCAAUUAAUUAGCUUGGCCUGAAUCCUAGUUGGAACUUAGUAAUUAGUUCAAUUAAUCCUUUAACCUUCAACCAAUUAGAAACUACAUACUCUAAGUUCAAAAACCUUAAUUCUCGAAAGAGAAAAUGGCCAAAUUUGCUCUACUAAACUUUUUACUAGUGCUGAUUUAGUCUCUAAUUUUAUUUUUGGCCAAUUUGAUACGUCGAAUAUAUGUUGUGAUUCUAAUUAAGGACUCUCUAAGGCGGUAACACCACGUAAAAGUACUCGAUUGGGAACUUCAAGUAUGGAUGUUAAUAAAACCAAGUAAAUCAGAAAAAAAAAAAAUCAUUAGUUUUUUGGGGUAUUUUAAUAUUUAAAACUUUUUGAGGUAUUUUUAAAAUUUUUAUUUUAAUUUCUUUCCUUUUCUCCUACCUUAUCUCUUCCUCGUCCCUACUCCCUACCAUUGUCUCCAGACUCACCACUCUCCUCUCUGCCAUAGGCACUACCGCCCACCUAUUUCCUCUCCUCUUUGUCUACUAUUCUCUCUCCUACCCUUUUGCUAAUGCUGCAUCUCUUGAUCUCGUCCCAUCAAAGAAAAGUCUAAAAGAUGAAAAAUCAAAGUUCCCAAAAUUAAAGGAAGAAAGAAAAGCUUUUAAAACCAGAUCUUGCAAAAAUCCCAGAUUAAAGGAAGAGAAAAGCUUUCCAUUCGAUCUUAUUUCAUAGGAUAGGAUUUCUAUUCCAAAAACUAGAUCUUACAAUUCAAAUAAUUUAAAAGGUGACUGCAUAAGAACAUUUUGAAAGACCCAAGUUCAAUAUUAGAAGUCUUUGCUUUUUUCCUUUGUUCGUUAAACUCCUUCUCAAUCUCAAUGCAUUGGGAUUUGUUGUCCACAUAAUAUACUGCCAGUUAUCUUUCUUAUUGCUAGAUUUCUUGAAUUCGAUCAAGAUGUAUCAUUUCCUCAGGCAAUUGUCCUUCAAAAGAAAAUUUUACUACUACUGCACUUCGUUUCUCAUGUCCCAAGGGAGAGGUGGUGGUAGCAAUGGAGUUUGGCAGUGGAGGAAGAAAAUAACCAAAAAAUACCAAAAAUAAUCGUGUGUUGUUUGGUCUAUCAGGAACUAAAUCGAUGUUCUGUGUUUGGCGCUGUCGCGGAGGUCCCUAAUUAGAGUCGCAAUAUAAGUCACAUAUCAAAUUGACCAAAAAUAAAAAUUAAGAACUAAAUUAAUCAACACUAGAAAAAAGUUUAGGGAUGAAUCUGGCCAUUUUCCCAUUCUCGAAACUUUAAGGCUCUUAUAAAAACUUGGAUUAAUUUCACUUUGCACCCUUCAAUUAUAUUCAAAUUAUCGUUUUAGACCCUAAAUUUCAAAAUGAGAUAGUUAAUUAGUUCCUAACAUAUAAAAUUUGUCCCACUUAAAUAAAAUCAUUGACUGAAGUACGACAAAUUUUAUACAUAAGUUGGAUGAAUUUAUGAAUUAAUCUUUCCUGUAUUAUUAUUAUAUAUAGUGAUGGAUUUAGAAGCAUGACACAACAUCUCAAUUUGAAUUUGAGCACCAAACUUUGCACAAGUAACACUCACUAGUGUAGGCAUUGACAGUGCAUAAAAGAUUUAUCCAAAAUUUGUACUUUAUGAGCUAAAGUGCGACAUAAUUUAUAUUUUAGAAACGUAUGUUAGAUUUUAUAUUUUUUUUAGAAACCAAAAUAGGACAUAUUUUAUAAUUUAAGAAAUAAAUUAUCAUAUUUCCAAGUUUAUGAACCAAAGUAGAAAUUUAGCCAUUGUUGAAAGUGCAAAGUGGAAUUAGCCCUAAACACUAUUUUUGUUCAUAAUUAAGUUCUGAAAGCACAGGUACUAGCAAAUGUAUUGACAUAAUUAAGCAUCUUACAUAGAUUUAGUUUUGCAUGUGAUGCCCAUUCUUGGUCUGAAUUGUCGAAGAUGUUUUGUUUGCUUUGUGUUAAAGAGUACGCAUUUCUAAUCUAAUUUGUUUCACAUGAUAAGUAUUGCUUCGAGUAAUUGAAAUAGGAUGGAAUUGAUCACAAUUCAACCUGAUUAAUUAUAGUAGCAAAUAAAGUCUAUGCAAUGGUCUCGUGACUUAAACGUAGUAAAAGGACAUAAGAUAAAGAACCUAGUUGUGUACAAGUUUGUUCAUUUCAUCACCAAGAGAUGCUGCUGCUUGUUUGUAGAUGGCCAUGCAAAUUCUUCACUUAUAACUACCUGAGUUUUCUCUGAAGUUACCUUAUGGCACUUAAGAAUUAUGGUUGCUUUUUACCUCAUUUUAAGUAAUGCAAACAUGAUCGGAUUUUGUGAAGCAGUAAGUGACUUUUUUUUUUUUUUUUUUAAAUCAGUUUGGGAAGGAAACAAAAUUUAAAGAAACAAAGAUUGUGUUGCUUUAUAAUAUAUAAACCAAGUUCAAGCCCAAAGAAAAAAAAAAUAACGAAUCAGUAAAUCUAGGCAAUCCCACUCGUAUUGACAUUGGCACUCAAUUCCAGGUUUGCCAAUUUAAAGAAAAUUUCACCCGGUUGAAGCAAAAUUAACCGAAUUCAAAAGCUAAUAAAACCAAAAACACAAAUUUUUUUUUUUUAUUAAAGAAUCAUCUCAAAGAGUUGAAGUCCCAAUCUUGAUCUUAUUAAUCUUAAUUAUUGUUUUAGCAGGAAAACAAGAAUUAGAAAAUCACCUAAAAUAUGCAUGCAAUCGUCUUCUUAACCCUAAAGGGCCUAAACAAUGAUCAUCACGCUCACGCUGCAUAUACACAAUGUGUAUCUACCUGCUCCUUUUGUCUCCAAUUCUUGCAAUCAACUGCUGAUUUUGGUCAUUCAUAAAUACUCUUAAAACAAAAAAAUAUCAUGUCAGCUCAUGCUGCACCUGAAUCACAAACAUUAUCAAGGGUUUUCUUUUGGGAGAUUUUUCAUGCCAAAUUUCCAUUAAACAAAGGGAAUUGAAGAACAAUUUCGAGGCCUUCCAAGACUAGCCAACUCACAUUGAUUAACAAUCAUAAACAAACUUCUUCUGCACAUCAAACAUUCAUGCAUGCAUGCACAUAUAAUUACAGAGUUAACAGGGAAUAUAUUAGCAUUAUAGAUCAGUUGAUCAUCGUCUCCUUGCUUUUUCCUUCUCCUUCCUCUUCGAGAUUGCUUUCUAGUCAUCGCCCUCUUUCUAGUCAGUGGAUGAUUUCUAGCAAGUUUCAUGAUAAUUUUUUUUUGUCAAAUAAAAAAAAGUUCCACCACAAAAUUUCAAGUUCGUUGAAAUAAAAAAAAAAAUGGACAUGAAUUUGCAAUAUUCCGCUUGUUCACUGCAUUUUGUAUCCCUAUUUAGAGCCUAUUUGGGAGUGGUACUUUUGUUUGAAAAAAUAAAGGUACUUUUCAGUAAUAGAAGUAUUUUUGUGGUGUUUGCUGAAUAUUAUUUCAUAAAUUUAUGCAUAUAGUUUUUGGUGUCAAAAGCACUUAGCAAAUGUCCCAAAUCGGUGCUUUUAAAAUAAUUUUUAUGUUUUAAAAAAUAAAACUUAAAUUUUGAUCAUUUUAUCAUAAAUUAUGAACUGAAUAAAGAAAUAAAUACAUUUCCAAAAUUUAAAAUCACACAUUAUCUAACAUAACAAGCAUUUAUCCAAGUUUAUAUCCAAACAACAUAUUUUAUCGGUUGAUUAUCAUAGUAAACAUUUGAUUGGUUAGCCUUGGUAACUUUUAAAAAUUAAUUUUCUAUACACUAACAGUACAUAUAUAUUUUCAGCAUAAGAUGCAGUCUAAAUUUUGAAUUUAAAAUUCAAAUUUGCAUAUAUGUCAUACAUUCAAUUAUGAUAGUGUAUACAUUUUAGUGUAUACAAGGUUAAUUCUAUUUUUACCAAUGUGGUAUGUGUCGUUAUAUGUUAUACAUUCAAUCGUGAUUGUGGUGUGCGUCGUUAUGUGUUAUGCAUUUAACCAUGAUAACGCGUACAUUGUUAAUAUAUUUAAGGUGAACUCUACUUUUAAUGGCUUGCAGAGUCCUGUCCGAAAAUACAAGCGAAAAUAUUCGGGUUGAUAACCUGCGGGGGAUGCUAGUGUACGUGGAACUUCCGGCUGGGGGCUGCUUGGUUUCUAAUAGUCCAGCAAACUUUGUGCUGACCUUUGGGCUUUUAUUGAGCCCACUCUGCAACUCCUUUCCAAUAUGUAGUGUUUUUUAGUGAUGAGAAUGGGGGCAAAUCAAGCAUUGCCGUUUGCGUGCGUCCGAUAUGAUUGUUGUAGUUAUCCUCUCAAUCUCAUUAAAUUUACAUUGAAAUAGUUUUAACCUAGGUUUGAAAUUCAUUUACGUAUUUGAAAUAGUUUUAUAUGGAUAUUAUUUCAAAAAAUUAUGUGGAUAUUAACGUAGUUAAAUACUUAUAUAUGUGUAAUACUAAACAUUUGUAAAAAAUUUGCAAUAGUGACUAUCCCUUUGAAAUUUUCUUGACCACUAACAAGUCUAAUUCCAUGAGUCAGUAUUAGGGGUGGGCGCGGGUCGGGUACCCGUCCCAUUCACCAUUUGGCUGAUCCGACCUGCACCUUGCGGGUCAGCCAUUUUCUGACCCUUACCCGCUCCGAAUAUUAUCGGGUACCCUAUAACGGGUACCCGUUGAGAUAGAGUCGGAUCAGCGGGUAUCCGUCCCGCCUCGUUUAUCAUUUAAUUUUUUUUAAAAAAAAUGAUUUAUACCAAUUUAAUUUUAUAUUUUACACAUUCAUCUAAGAUUUAAUAAUUUUUUUUCUAAAAAAAGGUUUCCCACUAAAAAACAAGCAUAUGAAGAGAAUAUAAGAUAAUGGAAAAAAAUUAAAAGAAUUCAAAAUCAAUAAAAGUUUGAAAUAAGUAGCACAAUUUUUAAUAUAUAUGUUCCACAUUAAUUAAACUUUUUUCUAUAAAAUAUAAGAUCAUGACCUUUACAAAUGAUUCUUGUAAAUAAACUAUAGUCUCUCAUAUUUGUAAUGCAAUUUGUUCAAUAAAAUUAUUUAUUUAGUUCUAACUUAUUAUUUUAUAGUGUGUGUAUAAAAAUAAAAAUAAAAAUAAAAAUAAUAAAUAUAUAUAUGCGGGGCGGAUCGGGUACCCGCGGGUUUUUAAUUAUGUGACCCUAACCCGCUCCGCAUCUUAGCGGAUACCCGACCCUCUUUUGACCCAAUCAAAUAAUAAAAUCGGAUAUCCUAAUUUUCGGAUCGGAUCGGAUCGGAUAUGACGGGUUUUCGGGUUAGCGGAUAAUUUUGCCCACCCCUAGUCAGUAUUACUUCGUUUGGAUUGACUAUUUUUUCAAAAAUGAUUUUUUUUAAAUACAAUGCUACAAUAAAUACACAAUAAUUCCAAAAAACAUCACAUCCAUACAAUAUAUCAAAUGUUUCAAAAAAAUUUUAUAGUACAAAAUUUUCAUAUAAAUUGUUACAGUAAAUUUUUUUCAAAAUACUCCAAAAAACAGCUAAUCCAAAUGGUGCCCUUUCACAAUUACAAAACUAAGUAGUGGUGUCAAGUUUGUUACACCCUGUAAAACUAAAGAUUCAAGAUGCAAUGAAUAUUUGGUAAAACCUAUGAACUAAUGAACUUAACUACAUGUGAUUUGCUACUUCCCACACCGAAAAUCAGUUCUUUAAUCCUUGCCUAUGUUAAAUGCCGUUCUGACAUUUUUAUUCCUUUUUGUCACAAACUAUGGAAACAUCAGGGCCAGACACAGUUUUCAAGUUUCAACCCGCUGUUACAUACAUACAAAUUCUGGUAUUUGAAAGACCAAGAAAACAAGAAUAUGGAGACGAGCGUCCGUGGUUGAAUACCAUUUUCUGUCAUGAUUGAUAUGUUGUAACAUGUAAACAACAUUUUCCAGAACUACAAUUGCCUUGGGUUUCGUUCUCAUUUAUGCUUCAUACCGUCUUAUUUGUGCUCGUCUUUUCUGGUUUGCUGAAGUUUCAUCACCUAUAAAUACCCUUGAACUGAUUUCCCAAGGCAUAAGAUCACCGACUUCUCUUCUUGAUACUGAAAGGGGAGCAACAAUGGAUUCCUCCUUAGCAUACAUUGUAACACUUGCAGUGAUCCCAGUUUCAAUUGCCUUCAUUUUCUUGAUCGCAAACGAAAUUCGAGCAGCUUGAAGCUUCCUCCAGGAACGUCGGGUGGCCAAUGGUGGGAGAAAGUUUGCAGUUUGCUUUAUUAGGCCCCCAGAAGUUUGUAAAAGAUAGAAUGAAGAAAUAUUCACCAGACGUGUUUCAGACGUCCCUGAUGGGAGAAAAAAUGGCUAUUUUCUGUGGUGCACAAGGCAACAAGUUUCUAUUCACAAACGAGAACAAACUUCUAACCUCAUGGUGGCCUCAGUCCAUGAAAAAAGCUCUGCUUUUCCCUGAAUUUGUUGAGGAUUCUUUAAAGGAAGUAUCAGCUCUGAAGCGUAGUUUCAUGCAUGAUAUUCUCAAGCCUGAAGCUCUGAAGCAAUACAUUCCAGUCAUGGAUGCACUGGCUCGGGAACAUAUCGAACAAGAAUGGGCUCCUCACAAGAAGUUAAAGUCUUCCCUUUGUCAAAAAAAUACACAUUUGAUUUAGCCUGUCGCUUGUUUUUGAGCGUUAUGGAUCCUGAGCACAUCAAGAAACUGGCUGAUCCUUUCCAUCUGGUUACCAAUGGGAUGUUCUCUGUCCCUAUUGAUCUCCCUGGAACAGCUUACAAUGGAGCUAUCAAAGGUGGAAAAAUGGUCCGUGAAGAGCUGUUGAGGGUCAUCAGGGAGAGGAGAAAGGAGCUGAUGGAGAAUAAAGAAACUGCAGCAGCAUGCAAGGACCUUCUGUCGAGAAUGCUACUUGUCACAGAUGAAGAUGGACAAUAUUUGAGUGAAAUGGAAAUCUCCAACAACAUCAUAGGCUUGUUGGUAGCAAGCUAUGAAACUACAAGCACUGCAGUCACCUUUGUGUUGAAGCACCUUGCUGAGCUUCCCCACAUUUACAGAGAGGUUCUCAGAGGUAAAAAUUUCUUGUGCCACUUCCAAACUUUAAUUCUCCUUGUUUUUUCCGUGUAAAGAAUGGUUGAUUGACUAAUUCAGUUUCCAUACACCCAUACAUAUAUAUAUAUAUAUAUAUAUAUAUAUAUAUAUAUAUAUAUAUAUAUAUUCAAAAGGAGAUUAUCGUAUUCAAAUUUAGUGUACUAACUUUUUAAAAUAAGUUAACGGACAUUGAUUAUCGUAUUCAUCACCACAGAACAAAUGGAGGUUGCAAAGACAAAAGGUCCAGACGAAUUGUUGACUUGGGAGGACAUUGAGAAGAUGAAAUAUUCAUGGAAUGUAGCCCGUGAAUCCCUGAGGGUGACGCCGCCAGCUCAGGGAGCUUUCAGGGAAUCUGUUGCUGACUUCACUUAUUCCGGUUUUACGAUUCCAAAAGGAUGGAAGGUAUAUGAGCUGAAAUAUCUAUAUCUAUAUCUAUAUCUACACACACACACACACACAAACACAUAUGUAUAUAUUUAUCCUGCAAUCUUAUUUUCUUCAUGACCGUGAUGAAUACUGAAAAUUCAGCGGCAAUCAAAUUUAUUUGCAGACGUUUUGGACAGUGCACACAACUCACAAAAAUCCCAAGUACUUCCCUGAGCCUGAGAAGUUCGAUCCUUCAAGAUUUGAGGGAAGUGGACCUGCUCCUUACACUUUUGUUCCUUUCGGAGGAGGACCUCGAAUGUGUCCUGGAAAGGAAUAUGCUCGGCUAGAAGUUUUGGUUUUCAUGUACAGAAUCGUGACCCAAUUUCAACUGAAAAAGGCAAUUCCAAAUGAGAAGAUAGUGUACCAUGCAUCUCCUGUGCCCGCGAAUGGGCUUCCCGUCCUUCUCCAGCCUCAUGGGAAAUAGCUUGCAAGCAGUUAUUGGUACCAUGCAUCUCCUGUUCCCGGGAAUGGACUUCCUGUGUCUCCAGCCUCAGGGGAAGAUAGCGUACCAUGCAUCUCAGUGCCCGUGAAUGGGCUUCUUGGUUGAGUUCGAAGUUUGCUUUUUUUUUUUUUUCUUUUUCUAAAGAUUAUUGUGAAAAUUUGUGCAAAUUAUUUCUGCUGUAUCCAUAAACAGACCUGAUAUGUUCGUUCAUUUGAGAAAUGGACUAUAUCUUCAAAAUAAAGUUUGUUAGUCAACUUAGAUAUGUAUUGUAACAGUUCAUUUCUGUAUUCUAGUAUCAUUUUAUCUGUGGUGAAACAGAAAGUAAGACUUCCCCAAGGAGUUAUCAAAGAAUAUUAUAUGUGCAAACAAAGAGAUUAAUGUGUUAUCUUGUUUCUUUAAAGCCAAAUAUGCUGCAUCCUAGAUGGUUGUCAAAAAUAUAGUAUUUUCUUUCUUUCUUUCUUUUUUAGCUAAAAAGUUUCUCUUAUUUUUCAGAAAAUCUCUAUUUACUUCUACAGAAUGUUAUUUUUGUAAUAUAAAAACUGCACCAAAUUGGUUCCAAAUUCUAUGUUCUGCCAUAAAAUGCAAAAAUGUGGCCGUUACCACAUAUUUGAUGUGUAUCUUUUUGAUAAACAAAUUAUAAGCUGACAUAUAACUCCCCUGAGAAGUCUUGUCAUACUUAAUUAGAGAAUGCUACAAUUAGCUAGUUGUCCAAGAACGAUUUACACCUAUCAGGCAACCAGUAUCGAAAGUAAAACUUGAAAUUAUUAACUUCCAUCCAGACAACAUCUAAUGCUUAAAAAAAAGAAGAAAGAAACUAUCCUACGAAAUGUGUUAAACUUGGUUUAAAAUAGUAAUCAAUAAUGGUCCACAGAAGUCAGUGCCUGGUUGUUAAAAAAAACAAAGCAUAGCAUUCUCUUUUGGUUUCUUAGUGAAGGGAACUACUACUAUUUUAAGUCAUUUUUCAUCAAGUAUGAAUUGACAUCUUUCUUGAAAGUAAAACAAAGCUUAGGCAUUUCCUUCUGGUAUUCAUCAUCAAGGUUGUAUAGUUUGACAGGAGAAGAAAAAGGGGCAUAAGUGAAGGUAAAUAAUGGCAUCCCAAGAAGUGGCUGCAGCAAAGGUGGCAUCGAUUUUCAUAUAUCCAAUCAAAUCCUGCCGUGGAAUUUCUGUCUCUGAAGCACCUCUUGCAUCCACUGGUAUGAAUUACACUCUUGUAACUGUACCAACCUUAUCAAUUUCAAGAACAUGCUUUAGUGCUGCUGUUUUUCCUGGUUAUUUUGCAGAGAUGGAUGAAUGGGAGAGGAUGGCCUCAUUGCAUGUUUAUGCUGUAGUUGAAAUUUCUAAAUGUUGCAUCUUUUGUCUGCUGCCAGAUUAAUUCACUUCCUUCUGUUAUUUCAACUCUGGUAUUAUAGAAUUGAGAGAGGGUAGGGUCCUCAUCACCCCACAAAACCAAGCCAGUGUGGUAUUACUGUUAAAACAAAUUUUCUAGCAACUAAGAGCUUAAGAGUUCUUUGUUGUUGACAAAAUAUAAAAAAUUCCAUCAAUUGAAAAAGGAAAAAUUAUUUCUUUGGAAUAUGGCUCAAUGAUCUUCAAUCUGUUAAGUGUGAUGUUGGCAAAGAGAAAAUUUUCUGUGUCAGGUCAAAUUUGCACAAAUAAAUCUUCUAUGGUUCCUUUUCUGUUUCCAUAUUCUAUAGCACUGUAAAUUCUGAGUAGAUGAUCCACACUGUAAAUUCUAUAGCAUUGUGUUCUUGAGUUUUCUUCUCCUAAUUCAGCUGUAUUCUAUUUCGUUAAAGUUCUUGAUAAGAUGGAGUGAAUCAGAUGAUGCAUGCAUUAUCAAUAUCAAACUACUUUUUCGAUCUCUAUGAAAUCUUUAUUCUUUUGAUUUUCAUUUUGAUAAGAUAUUCGAUUCAAAAGUAAAGGUCGUUUUUCUGGCAGAAAUUUGGCUUACUUUUCUUCUGUUUAAAUUUACUUACAGGUUUUAGGUGGGAUAGAUUGUGGAUGGUUGUGAAUUCUAAAGGCAGGGCAUAUAGUCAAAGAGUUGAGCCAAAACUUGCUCUAGUUGAGGUAGAAAUGCCAAUAGAAGCAUUUUCUGAUGUUUGGGAACCAAAUAACAAUUCCAUCUUAGGUGAGUUCUUGAUCACUGAGAAUACAUAUAUAAUACCUCUUGAUUAGGCUGUUUUCAUUCCUCUUUUCUGCCGCCUUCCCCUUGUCCACUCUUGCAAGUUCAACAAGUAAAUUGCUUAAGAUCUUAAUACUCCCUGUUGCUUUCGACCGUCGUUUCUCUUUUUCUGCGCAAUGUGGACCAAAAUGUUAGAACAAUGGCAGAUCACCGAUCGCUUUUUUCCAAUUGGAGUUGUGGUAACAGCUGAGAAAUGAAAGAAACGCCUGGAAAGAAAAUUAAAAAAUUAAAAACAAGAACAGUUUUAAUUCUUUUGUGAUUUCAUUUAGUUCAGAGAGUUGGUUUUGUUCCAUUAAUGCAAGGUAAAAGAAUGAUUGUUUAAAGUAGCUGCAGAUUUAGCUGGUGAUCAAUGUUCUCUUCAUCCAACAGUUGUCAGGGCCACAGGCAUGGAUUUAUUGAAGAUUCCGCUGGCCGAACCAUCUACAAUAGCAGAUGGAGUCUCAAUCUGGGAGUGGGCUGGCGGGGCACUUGAUGAGGGAAAUGAAGCAUCAGAGUGGUUCUCCAGAUUUCUUGGCAAACCAAGUCGGCUAGUGCGUUUUAAUGAAGGUAGCACUCAGUUAGGCAAUGAGAUUUAACUUUCUACCUCUGGGCAAAUGUAUAUGAACUCAUUUUUGGCAACAUAAAAUGCUGAGAGCUAGGCUGCUGCAUACAAAUCAGAAUGAACUUCAGCAUUUGGUUCUUGAUGAACUAACAUUUCUAGUCCUUUUCUGUUAUCUUUGGAUGUUCAAAUUGUCUUUGUUUUCCCUGUGUAAUUUGGCUUCUAUCAUUUCUAGAAAUUUAUUGCAUUACUCUGGUCUCAGAAAUGCACCAAUGUCCAGAAUUAGGACUAUCUUUUGUAUCUAAGGAAUAGAGAUGAUAAUUUUGAGAAAGAGCGAAUUUCAUGUAUGCGUGCUUUAUUACCAAACUCUUGCAUUAUACUUUUUUUUUUCCCCUGGAAGUCUAUUUUCUGAAGCUUAUUUAUUGAAAUCAUGCAUCAUUGAAAUGUAUUUAAGUCACAAAAUGAGACAGUAAUUUGGGUUUUGAUUAAUCAUGCAGCAUCAGAAACCAGGCCUGUCUACUCUGAUCCUGUCCGCAGUUAUAAGAUUAAGUUUAAUGACAUGUAUCCUUUUCUCCUGGCAUCUCAGGUUAGUUAGUGAGACUGGUACAAAUCGAUAUCUGACCAAGUAGAAGUUUUGAUCUAAGAAUUUUUCAUUGGUUGUUCUGCAGGGAUCAUUGGAUGCAUUAAAUGAUCGUCUGGAGGAACCUAUACCCAUGAAUCGGUUUAGACCUAAGUAUAUGCAUGCUCGAACCCCUUGCUCUCCUGCUCUUGUUUGCUUCUUUCAGUUUCCUUUCACUUUCUGAGUAUAUUUGUACUCCUUUUUCCUAUAUGCUUCAUAACCCAUAACCCAUAUUUUACCCAAUGCAGAAGAAUUCAAAAGGCUUCAAAAAUGAUGUUUUUUUUUGUUUUUCAGUAUACUUGUUGAAGGAUGUGAGCCAUUUUCUGAGGAUUUUGGAAGGAGAUCAGCAUAAACAGUUUAACAUUCUAUGCUGGCGAGCUAUGCUACCGCUGUAAGGUAAAAGUAAAACCUCACUUUUCUUCAGUUUUGUUCUUGAUCAGUAUACUCAGAUUUUAUUUGUGAAGACUAAUCAAGUAUAGGUUCUAAUCUGCCCUGAUCAUUUUAGUUGAUUAUCGUGUAACCUUUUCCUUUCUUCCCCCAUCCCAACAAGUCCUCGAUUAGAAAGUAUUUUAGUUUCUUUAUUGCUUUCAGAGAAAGAGAGAGAGGAGUGGCAAAUUGUUGUAAACAAUCUUGCACCUUUUCUCAUUACUGAUCUUGGUAGUGAACUCACUCCAUAAAUUAAGUUUCAGAGGGCUCAAAUAUGUAUCCUGAACCUUUGCCUAGAUAGGAGGCCCUGAGAUAAUGCUGGAGGAUUACCUGCUCUAGAAGUUCACUGCCUCUUAUCAUGCUGCAUAAAAAUUGCUCCAAUCAAAAAGGGGCAAGAAAAAGAUUAAAAAAAAGUGCCAUAAUACAUAUGUUUGCUGUCAAAUCUGUAUUUGCCAUUUCCGUAGCUGUUUGUUUAGUUGAGGUUAGUGUUGCGAAGGUGCACAGAGGAAGUAACAAAAGUAUGCUAUUGCACCUAUAAAGACUUGACAUCUGAAUCUCUCUAUGAGUUUCUAAGCUCAGAAAUCUUGCCUCUUACUAUUUACAGAUACCAAGCAUCAAUCAAGAAACAGCAGUAGCAGGUUCAGAGCCCACGGAGACGCUGAGAAAGUUUCGUUCAGACAAAGUCCUGUGUCCAGAUAAAAAACCACAGGGAGGGUAAGCAUAAACAAAACAUUGUCAUGGUCCUUCUAGAGACCAAAUCCUGAUACUAACUUAGCUCGGAUCUGCAGGUUUACUUUGGAAAAAUGUUAGUUUGCAAAGAUUCACUUACUCAAUGGAAAUCGAAGAAAAUACAAGUGGGAGAUCCUGUUUAUAUUCGCGAAUUAUUACCUUCCUAUAACGAUGCAGCAGCUUGACCUUAAUAUGUUCCAUGUACAGAUUCUGCCCACUUGCCCUGCCUUGAAACCAUGCAAGUAUAAUGGUCAAACAUUUUAUGUUUGCAAAGAUGUGUUUUAAACUGUAACCCUUCGUUAUAUGUUUACCAGUCAAGCUAGUUGUAAAACUUUUCAUCUGAUGUUAAGAAUUAUGUGGUUGGUUUGUGGAACACUUUUCCUCCAUUGUUGGCUCGUAUGUCCCCUGGUAAGGUGAUCAUAAAUUUGAUAUUGAAGAUCAAACCAUCCAAGAUUGUUUAAUAUGGGUUCAUGAGUGAUAAUUGAACUCCAAAAUCAAGUGACAGUUUGCAGCUGAACUCUUGGAUACACAAGCAAAUGAUUCAGUUAUCUGUUCCAUCUUUUUAUAGCCACCAAUUUUGCUGUUUGUAGAUAAUAAAAUGGUAGGGGAUCGAUAGUAUAAACUUCUGAUUUACAAUAUGAUCCUAGACAAAAUAAACAACAGAUGCCUGGUUUAGUGUGCAAAGUUCAACAUUGAAAGAAAAAAUCACUAACACUUCAGGAAAUGCAUGUUACACUAAACAGAAGUUGUAAUGGAACAACAAAAACAUUAAAACCAAAAUUUUUCUGUGUUUCCUUUGAUUUAAUUGCAAUCUACAACCCUGUAAAACCGUUACAUUGAUGUCACAACUCUCGUGCAUUUAGGAUGCUAUGCUAAAUCUUGUGUAAACAUUCACUCUACAGUGUAAAAUCAACUACGUGUUGUUAUGCCCCUCUGGCCUAUGAAUUAAACAGGGAUGGAAGCCCUUGAGUAGGGACUCGUUAUGCAUCAAUUGAAUCACUAUGAAGCCUGCCGAAGCAUCUGCUGGAGUUGAAUGACCUGUUGCUGCUGAUCAGGUGGCAGUGAACUUACUUGCUCAGGUGUUAGAAGAAGCACUUGCUGUAGCAGAGCAGUCUCCACAUCAGGAGGAAGCUGUACCUUGAGAAUGAGAAAACCAAAGUCUUACUACAAUUAAAGAACAAACCAAGCCACCAA